ACAGUUAACCUAUCCGGAUGUCUCCUGCCAGGCCGGUCAAAGGUAUUGGGGGAUUAGAUCCCACAUAGAGUCAAACUAUGAAAGCAAGUGUCCCAUAAAGGAUAACAUGGCUUACCUCGCCAGCCGGACGCUGCGAGCUGAAUCCACGAUCUUCGGUAGCGGAUGCGGGAUCCUUGGCGCCCUUGAACAGCACCCUCCAGGCCUCUUCAUACGUAGUGUCGAAGAGCCCGCUCAAGGUCUGGUGCUGUGCCGGAUUAAACUCCCACAAAUUGAAGUUCCGCUGUUGGCAGGGGAGAAUCCGGCGGAUGAGCAUGACCUGGAUUACGUUGACAAGCUUGAGCUUCUUGUUCACCAGGGUUAGGAGACAGGAUUGAAGUCCGGUCAGCUCUUCCAUAUUACCCCACAGCAGGCCCUUCUCUUUCCAGGAAGUGAGCCGCAUGGGGAUGCCAGAUCGGAAUUCGGGGGCCGCUGCCCAUUUAGGGUCACACGGCUCGGUGAUGUAGAACCACCCCGAUUGCCACCCUUUGAUGGUUUCCACAAACGCGCCCUCGAGCCAAGUGACGUUGGGCAUCUUGCCCACCAUGGCGCCUCCGCACUCCGCUUGGCUGCCCUUCACAACCUUCGGCUUGACAUUGAAGGUCUUUAGCCACAAGCCGAAGUGAGGAUGGAUGCAGAGGAAGGCCUCGCACACGACGAUAAACGCCGAGAUGUUCAGGAUGAAAUUCGGGGCCAGAUCGUGGAAAUCCAGGCCGUAGUAGAACAUGAGCCCCCGGACAAAGGGGUGGAGUGGGAAGCCUAGUCCGCGGAGCAAAUGGGGAAGGAAUACCACCCUCUCAUGGGGCUCGGGGGUGGGGAUGAGCUGCCCCUCAUCGGGGAGCCAGUGCGCGAUGUCGCUGGACAAAUAUCCGGCGCAGCGCAGCUUCUUAAUGUGCCCCUCUGUAACGGAGGAGGCCAUCCACUUGCCUCCCGCUCCGAACAAGGCUGGAGAAGGUUGAGGUGAGAUGUGCAGACUUGGGCGCUGGAGCUCGAGUGCACGGAGAUGGAUAAGCAAAGGAGGAAGAAGGCGUAGGUAAAAAGGUGGAUCCUUAUCCCCUUAUAUAUGGGCGGACGAAACCAUGCGUCCCCACCAGCCUGGUAAAACUCGCUUAUCUCCCAAGCGCCACAAUCAAUGGCGCGGUUGGGUUACCCACGUCCGUAUUGAUGAGAAUCCCGGAAUAAGGGGACACGAUCUCUGCUUCGACAAGACGUGCCAAGGAAACCGCUUCGCUAAAUGCGCUGAGGUGGAAUAAUAAAAAUGAUUCGAGUAAAGGCUUGGUUGUGGUGUGACAUCACGCCACAAAAUACGUCAGCAGAUUGAACUUGUGUAAAUAUUAUUCUCUCUACGGUGGUAUGUGGAAUUUAUUUUGCAGAGUCGAACAAUAUCCUGGUGUUCACAAUCUUCUAUGAAUUAUUCGGAGGAGGAACCCGCCUUGCAAUGCCGAAGACAAUAUGCGCGCCGGACUCGUCGUCAUUGAAGCCUGGUUCAGGGGCUACUAAGGGAGUCCUGGACUAGGGGGUGUCUAGAUAGCCAAACUAUCAUCAUUGGCUGGACUCCAAGACUAUGACGAUACAAGAUUGAAGACUUAGUCCCCUGUCCGGAUGGGACUUUCCUUGGCGUGGAAGGCAAGCUUGGCGAUACGGAUAUGUAGAUCUCCUACCAUUGUAACUGACUCUGUGUAACCCUAGCCCUCUCCGGUGUCUAUAUAAAGUGGAGGUUUUUAGUCCAUAGGACACAUAACAAUCAUACCAUAGGCUAGCUUCUAGGGUUUAGCCUCCUUGAUCUCGUGGUAGAUCAACUCUUGUACUACCCAUAUCAUCAAUAUCAAUCAAGCAGGAGUAGGGUUUUACCUCCAUCGAGAGGGCCCGAACCUGGGUAAAAACAUCGUGUCCCUUGUCUCCUGUUACCAUCCGCCUAGACGCACAGUUCGGGACCCCCUACCCGAGAUCCGCCGGUUUUGACACCAACAACGAGACUUCCUACGCGAAAAUUGGGACAUCUUUGCCUAGCACCCUUCAGACAUGCCAGGAAUCCUACACCGACUGGCCGAGCACAGCCUAAACAUCAUAAAAGGAUUCAAGCCAGUCAAACAGGCUCUUUGGCGUUUCUCCGAACCCAAGAGACAAGCCAUGGGAGAGGAGCUAGCCAAAUUAUUGGUGGCCGGAUUCAUCAGAGAUAUAAAACAUCCAGACUGGCUAGCAAACCUGGUGAUGGUACCAAAGAAGGACAAAUCCUGGCGCCUAUGCGUCGAUUUUAAAGACCUCAACAAGGCUUGCCCAAAGGAAACCUUCCCCCUCCCCCGCAUCGAUCAAGUUAUCGAUGCUACCGCACGACACGAUUCAUUGUGUUUCCUCGACACAUACUCCGGCUACCACCAAAUUAAGAUGGCAGAGCCCGACCAGGCCACAACGGCAUUCAUCACCCCAUACGGCCCAUUCUGCUUCAACACAAUGCCCUUUGGGCUCAAAAAUGCCGGCGCAACAUAUCAGCGCAUGAUUCAGACAUGUCUGGCAAACCAGAUCGGCAAAACAGUGGAGGCAUAUGUGGAUGAUGUGGUCGUCAAAACCAAGCACGUCGAAACUCUAGUAGACGAUUUGAGGCUCACGUUCGAUAAUCUUCGAACAUAUGACAUUAAGCUUAACCCAGAAAAAUGUGUUUUUGGCAUACCAGCCGGAAAGCUCUUGGGCUUCAUUGUAUCCUGAAGAGGAAUUGAAGCAAACCCAGCCAAGAUCCGAGCUCUAUCACAACUGGAUAUCCCAAAGGACCUCAAACAAAUACAAAAAUUGACGGGAUGUGUGGCGGCGUUAAGCCGCUUAUCUCACGUUUAGGAGAAAAGGCAUUACCCCUUUAUCGCCUCCUCCGACGCACCGAACACUUCGAGUGGACGGAUGCCGCCAUGGCCGGACUCGAAGAAAUAAAAGCCAUAUUGGCAACAAACCCGGUCCUGGCCGCGCCCAACAUAGGCAAACCAAUGCUAUUAUAUAUCGUGGCAACUCAUCAAGUGGUGAGCAUGGUGCUCGUUGUCGAACGAGAAAAAGACGGACACAAGUUCCCCCUUCAAAAACUAGUUUACUACGUGUCCGCUGUCCUGACUCCAUGCAAGUCAUGGUACCCGCAUUAUCAGAAGAUAGCGUAUGCGGUGUUCAUGGCAUCCCGGAAGCUGCGACACUACUUUUAAGACUGUUCGAUAACAGUAGCCUCCAAAGUACCUCUUAAUGACAUUAUAAACAACCGCGACACGACGAGCCGGAUUGCCAAAUGGGCCAUUGAGCUCCUCCCAUUCGACAUAACCUAUAAGCCACGACGAGCUAUUAAGUCGCAAGUUUUGGCCGACUUCAUCGCUGAAUGGACUGAAGCCGAACUCCCUAAAGAGUACGGCGCAUAUUCCAACUGGAUUAUGCACUUCGACCGCUCAAAAAUGUUGGCUGGUCUGGGGGCUGGCGUCAUCCUAACGUCCCCAACCAGAGAUACGGUUCAAUACGUACUCCAAAUAAUGUAUACGGACUCCAACAACGCAGCAGAAUACGAGGCCCUUCUACAUGGCCUCCGGAUGGCAGUCUCCAUGGGCAUUCAACGUGUAGAGGUGCGCGGGGAUUCGAACCUCGCGAUAUCCCAAAUAAAUGGAGACUUCGAUGCCAAGGAUCCAAAAAUGGCAGCUUAUCACAACGCCAUCCUAAAAAUGUUAGCUCGGUUUGAGGGGCUCGAAUUUCACCAUAUAGCCCGGGAUAACAACCAGGCAGCAGACGUACUGGCACGCAUUGGCGCAAAGCGCGAUGCCGUCCCUCCCAACAUCUUCCUAGAGAGGUUGUUCAAGCCAUCCGUACUAUGGGAGGGUGUAAGUGCAUCUAGUGCCACCCCUAGUUGGUUUUGGAGUAUUGAUGACAAAGUUGGUUGAGGGACUAAUGCGUUUGUGAGAAUUGCAGGAUAACGCAGGUAGUGUCCCUUAUCGAUUCAGUUUACCUACCGGAGAUGACCCCUAAAAAUGUCUGAAGACAGUGAAGACAAUGGUGGUAUGAGAAGAUAUUCAUAUUGAAGACUAUGACAUGAGAAGACAUUGCAUGAAGACUAUGGAGCGCGAAGACUGUGUGGUUUCGUAGUUUCCUUUUCUUCUUUGUUGAGUCAUAGGAACCAUCGUACUGUUAAGUGGGGUCCAAGUGAACUAAGUCAGAGUGACUGAAGUGAUGCUCAACUCAAAUCCUAUGUCUUCGAGCGAAGACAAUGAGAGCAAACCUUAUCCAGAGUUGGAUGAGUCAGCUUUGCUUGUAGCCCAAGUAAAGUUGUCGCGUGUGUUUGAAAUCUGACCGUUGGAACACGUGUCAGUUCCUUAGUGACCCAGGGUCAUUUUGGACAAAUCAGGUUGGGUUGCCUAGUGGCUAUAAAUAGCCCACCCCCUAGACCAUAAAUUGGUGGCUGCUCAGAGUUUGUGCACGGCUUUUGUCGUUUGAGAGCAACCCACCUCGAAGCAUUUGAGAGAGAGAAAUCCUUGCGAGGACAAAGCCCAAACACCCAGAGCCAAAGAGUGUUAGGCAUCACUGAAGUCUUUCUGCCUGUGUGACCUGAAGACUUAUUACACUUGAGGACUGUGAAUCCUCCAGCCGGUUAGGCGUCGCGUUCUGAGCAUCCAAGAGUCAUUGUGGAUUGCCGGUGAACAAAGUCUGUGAAGGUUUGGAAGUCUCCCUUGAAGACUUACCAGAGUGAUUGGGCGAGGACUGGGUGUCCUUAGCUCAAGGGGAAUAAGGUGAAGACACGGUCUUCUGAGUUAAAUCUCAGCCUCCCUAACCAGACGUACAGUUGUCACAGCAACUGGAACUGGUCUAACAAAUCCUGUGUCUUCAACAAGCAACUGGUUAUAUCCCUUCCCAACCUUACUUAAGUUUGUCUUCAUGAAGUCAUUGCCUAUCUGUGUAUCUGUUUGACUUCAUUGCUUGACUACUACUGUUGAUUGGCUUCAUACUAUCUUCUAUCCUGAUCCUUACUACCUAGCUGCUAUUAGUCCUGUACUUUCACAUCAUUGCAUACUUGACUAUGGCUUGCUUAGGGUAGUUUAUCUUCCGCUGCAUAACAAUUAGAUCAUUUCUGUUGUUUGUCUUUGAAACUUCCAUGUUUUGAAGACUUUCAUAAAAAUCGCCUAUUCCCCCCCCCUAUAGUCGAUACUAGCACUUUCAAUUGGUAUUAGAGCAAGGUACUCCCUUGUUCUGUGUGAUUUGGUUUAACCACUUGGAGUUUCAGCUAUGUCGACUCCAGGGAUAAUCACGGUCUCCGUUGCUUGCCCCGUGUUCGAUGGAACUGAAUAUCCCUACUGGAAGAAUAAGAUGUGUAUGCAUCUUGAAGCCAUUGAUGUCGACCUCUGGUAUGUCGUCAAGAAUGGCGUUCCCAAAACUGGUGAAGGUGUCACCCCCACUGAUGUCAAGAAGUUCAUUCAACUGGACUCUACUGCAAAGAACAUCAUCUGUGGUCAUCUGACCAAAGGACAGUAUGGCCGUGUGAGUGCUCUAGAAACAUCGAAGCUAGUCUGGGACUGGCUAUCCAUGGUCAACGAAGGUGUCUCAACCCAGAGAGAUCAAAGAAUCAGUGUUCUUCACACGUCGAAGCUAGUCUGGGACUGGCUAUCCAAGGUCGAGAGAAACGACAAUGAAAAUGUCCAGCUCACGUUUGAUCGCCUCACUGAUAUCACAAAUUAACUUCAAGCUCUUGGCGCAACUGAGAUUACCAAGCAUGAAAUCGUCAAGACAUUGCUGAGAUCACUUGACAGCUCCUUUGACACCCUUGCCCUCAUGAUACAAGAACGUCCUGACUUCAAGUCACUCGAUCCGUCUGAUAUUCUUGAGAGGCUCAACACACAUGAGUUCUAGCUAUCUGAGAAAAGAGAUAUCUAUGGUCCAAACUAUGGCCGAACUCACGCUUUGAAGGCAAAAGUUGUUUCCUCAUCUGAAGAAGAAUCUGACUGCAGUUCUGAAGAUCCUGAAGACAUUGAAAAGGAACUUGCUAUGCUUGUGAAGAAGUUCCAGAAGUUCACUAAGAAGAAAGGCUUCAGAAAGUCUUCAUGAUCCAGCUCAAGGAAUGAUGAAGCUUCCACCUAUGACCACAAAAAGAGAACCUGCCACAAGUGCAAGAAACCUGGACACUACAUAUCUGGGUGUCCACAGUGGGACAAUGAGAAGAAGAAGAAGAAAAGCAAGGAAUAUGAUUCUGAUGACAAGAAGAAGAAGAAAUCCUAAAAGUCUUCUAAGUCUUCUUCCAAGUCUUCAUCAUACAAGAAGAGCUCAGCUGGCAAGGCUCAUGCCUUUGUUGGCAAGGAAAUGGAUUCAGAGGAGGAGUCUGCUUCUGAGGAGGCGGAGGUGGAGUCUGGAGAGGAGUCUGACCCUGGCGUUGCAAGUCUGGCUCUAGCCACAGCCUAUGUCGCCAAGUCUAUCUUCAACACUGAAGACAAUGACUUCCACACCAACGCUGAAGCUAAUGAUGAAGACGAUCCUACUCCCACCUACUGCUUCAUGGCACGUGGUGCCAAGGUAAAAUCACGUGAUGCUUACUUUCAAACUUCAAGUGAAGAUGACUCUGAUUGUGAAUCCAAACCCAGCUACAAAACACUUGCUAAAAUUGCAACUGAACAACAAAAGGCUAUGGAACAUACUCAAAUACUGUUAGACAAAAGCGAUGACCUGUUGGAUGCUGAAAUGACACGUUCACAGUCCUUAGUUGAUGACAUAAAAAAUCUUCAUGCUAAGUACCAAAAACUUGAAGGUCGUCAUGAAUCGCUCUCAACUACUUAUGAAAGGCUCUCCUAUGAUUAUCUUCAAAGGAAACAAGAGCUUGAGAAAUUGAGAGCGGCUCAUGAAGAUCUUCAACAGGUGAAUGAGUCACUUCGCGCUCAACAAAUCAGUUCCACUUAGGAUGGAUUUGAACCACCAUGUCUAAAAUGCAUUGAGUGUGAUAAUGCUACAUUUGUUGCUGAAUGUUCCACUGCUGCUACUAUUUCAUUGUCUUCACCUACUGAUGUGGUUACUAACCCCUCUGUGGAGGAUACCACUACUGUUGCUGAUGAAAAUGCUAUGUUGGAGACAUUGCUUGAAAUAGGGAUGUACAAAAGUUUGAAGGGACAUCAGACUCUCUGCAAUGUCCUCAAAAAGCAGAUUCUGAACCGAAACCCUAGGAAAGAGGGUGUUGGGUUCGAAAGGAAAAUGAAUGUUGAUGGCUCGUACUGGAAGCUUGAGUAGUACCCCAAAACCACAUGGGUUGCUGCAAAGGAACCUUCAGUAGAUCCAUCCACCUUAUCUGGCUUUACCUAUGCUAAUCCUAUUAUCAUUGAUGAAUCCUUUGAUGCAAACUAUAAGCUGUUCAAAAAUCAGAAUGGUGAAGUGUUUGCCAGGUACAUUGGUACUAACUGCAGGAAUGGACCACCUAUGAAGAAGAUCUGGGUACCUAAGCAGUACAUUGAGAAUCUUCCUGUGAAUGUCGUCAUGACACCACCAAGGAAGAAGACAAACCCCAGACCUAUAGCUUCAUGUGGCCCAAAGGCUUCAUACAGAUACAGGACUCACAUGAGUCACCCUAACGCCAAUGUUUUGCAGGGAAAUCAUGCUCAGACUUAUGAAUAUGAGCGUGUAUCUUCGAACCGCUAUGUUCAUAGGACUAAGAACUUUUCAGCUUAUUCAUAUGAGUAUCAUUCAUCUCCUGCAAGGCUAUUUGCUAGGGCUUCAAAGCCAAAAUUCUCAAAUGCUGCACUUAGACUCAUUGCUUCUAAGCCACCAUUGAAGAUGUGGGUGGCAAAGAAGAACUAACUCUCUUUUGCAGAAAACGGUCUCCAGCCAGCAAUCAAUGGCGUCCUAUACUAUUGCUGGGGACCUAAAACUCAUUUAGGACGCACGAUAAAAUGUCAUUCUAUAUACUUCACAUCUGAAUCUAUUAUCAGUCAUACUAUGUCCUAACUUUGAUAUAAGCUGUGAUUGUCCGUAUAUGUGUCAAAUGCUUAUGCUUCACAACACUCUUGUGAAGCCUAUCCUCCUAACUGCACUGUAGGGUACAUCACCAAAAGCUUCAGAAUGGAUUAUGGAUAGUGGAUGCACAAAUCAUAUGACUGGUGAUCGAAGUCUUCUCAUGGACUCAACCUUACGUCCAUCCGACACGAGUCACAUUACAUUUGCUGACACUGGUAAAAGCAAGGUAUUGGGUCUAGGUAGAGUUGCAAUCUCAAAGGAUCAACACAUGGAUAAAGUGAUGCUUGUUGAAUCCCUUGGUUUCAACUUAAUGUCUGUCUCAAUGCUUUGUGACUUGAACAUGAUUGUGAUAUUUGGCAAAUAUCGUUGCCUUGUACUAAUGGAAUCUGACAAAUCUCUAGUCUUUGAAGGGUAUCGAAAAGAUGAUCUAUACAUGGUAGAUUUCUCAGCAGGUCCACAGCUUGCCGUAUGUCUUCUCACAAAAGCUUCAGAAUGCUGGCUCUGGCAUCAAAGGCUAGGACAUGCUGGCAUGAGGAACUUACACUCACUCGUCAAGAAGAAGCAUGUCAUUGGCAUCGAGGAUGUCAAGUUCAAAAAGGAUCAUCUGUGUGGUGCCUGUGAAGCUGCAAAGAUGACAAGGGCAAAGCACCCCUCGAAGACAAUCAUGAAAACAUCUCAAUCCUUCGAGCUAUUACGCAUGGACUUAUUUGGACCUACUCACUACUCCACCCUCACAACAACUGCCUGUCUCUAUGGCUUCAUCAUUGUUGAUGUCUACUCAAGAUACACAUGGGUUCAUAUAAUUCUAUACAAGACUAAAGUGCAAGAUGUCUUCAGGCGCUUCUCAAAUCGAGCAAUGAACAACUAUGGCGUGAAGAUCAAGCACAUCAGAAGUGACAAUGGCACUGAAUUUAAGAACACCGGACUUGAUCUGUAUCUGGAUACAAUGGGAAUCACUCAUGAGUUCUCUGCUCCAUACACACCCCAGCAAAAUGGCAUCGUUGAGUGCAAAAAUAGAACCCUCACUGAGAUGGCUCGAACAAUGCUAGAUGAGUACAAGACACCAAGAAAGUUCUGGCCUAAAGCUAUUGAUACAGCAUGUAACAUCAUCAACCGUGUGUACAUCCAUAAGCUUCUGAACAAAACAUCUUAUGAGCUCCUUACUGGCAAGAGGCCAAACGUCAGUUACUUCAGAGUAUCUGGAGCUAGAUGCUGGAUCAAGGAUCCCCAUCACAAAUCAAAAUUUGCACCUAAGGCUCACGAAGGCUUCAUGCUUGGCUAUGGAAAGGAUUCACACUCCUACAGAGUCUUCAACCUUUAUCUCUACAAAAUCGUUGAAACUGUGGAUGUGAAAUUUGAUGAAACCAAUGGUUCACAGAGAGAGAUUCUGCCAAGUACACUUGAUGAAGCUCCUUCAAACGAGUCUAUCAAGCUGAUGGGAACUGGUGAAAUCAUGCCCUCUGAAGCACAGCCUGAAGAGGAACUUAUCAUCUCUGCACCAAAUUAACCUGAAGACAAUGCUCAGACCGAAGACAAUCCUCCCAAUGAUGACAAUGAUCAGCUAGAGCAAAAUCUUCGUCUUGUUCAUCCUCGUGUUGCAAAUGAAGUUCAAAUAGAGAAGAUAAUUGACAGCAUCAAUGCACCUGGUCCGCUCACUCGAUCAAGAGCAACACAGCUAGCAAACUUCUGUGGGCACUUUUCAUUUGUGUCAAUAUCAGAACCCAAGAAAGUUGCUGAAGCUUUUAUGGAACCUGAAUGGAUUCAAGCCAUGCAAGAAGAACUUCAAUAGUUCAAACUGAAUAAUGUCUGGGAACUCGUCAAGUGACCUGACCCUCGCAAGCAUAACAUUAUUGGAACAAAGUGGAUAUAUCGAAACAAGCAAGAUGAGCAUGGUCAAGUCGUCAGAAACAAAGCACGUCUUGUGGCUCAAGGAUAUACUCAAGUUGAAGGAAUUGACUUCGAUGAAACAUUUGCUCCUGUUGCUAGGCUUGAAGCUAUUCGCAUACUGCUUGCCUACGCUAAUCAUCACAACAUCUUGCUAUAUCAAAUGGAUGUAAAGAGUGCAUUUCUCAAUGGCAACAUUGAAGAAGAAGUAUAUGUCGCACAACCACCUGGCUUUGAAGAUCCAAAACAUCCUGAUAUGGUGUACAAGCUAAACAAAGCACUGUAUGGCCUCAAACAAGCUCCUCGUGCCUGGUAUGAUACAAUCAAAGACCUCCUGAAGAGCAAAGGCUUCAAACCUGGAUCCCUCGAUCCCACACUCUUCACGAAGACAUAUGAUGGUGAACUGUUUGUGUGCCAAAUAUAUGUGGAUGACAUAAUCUUCGGCUGCACCAACCAGAAGUAUAGUGAUGAGUUUGGGUACAUGAUGCAAGAGCAAUAUCAAAUGUCCAUGAUGGGUGAGCUGAAUUUCUUCCUUGGUCUUCAAAUUCGUCAGCAAGGAAAUGGCAUCUUCAUAUCUCAAGAAAAAUACCUCAAAGAUUGUCUGAAGAAGUUUGGAAUGAAGACUGCAAAGGCUACACGACGACAAUGCCAGCCAAACAACAUCUGGGUCCCGACGACAAUGGUAAAGAGUUCGAUCAAAAGGUAUACCGCUCCAUGAUUGGUUCUUUGCUUUAUUUAUGUGCAUCUAGGCCAGAUAUUAUGCUUAGUGUUUGCAUGUGUACUCGAUUCCAAGCGGCACCAAAGGAAUCGCAUCACUUAGCUGUGAAGCAAAUUCUUCGAUAUUUGGCUUACACCCCAACACUCGGAUUGUGGUAUCCCAAGGGCUCAAAUUUUGAUUUGGUUGGAUUCUCGGAUGCUGAUUAUGCUGGUGACAAGGUGGAUCGCAAGUCUACAUCAGGCACAUGUCAUUUUCUUGGUCAAUCACUUGUCUGUUGGUCUUCAAAGAAGCAGAAUUGUGUAUCACUCUCAACUGCUGAAUAUGAAUACAUUGCUGCUGGAUCCUGUUGUGCUCAGCUUCUAUGGAUGAAGCAAACUCUCAAGGAUUAUGGCAUCAACCUGAAACAAGUACAUCUCUUCUGCGAUAACGAAAGUGCCAUCAAAAUAGCCAACAAUCCAGUCCAACACUCGAAGUCAAAGCACAAUGAAAUUCGUCAUCACUUUCUCAGAGAUCAUGUUAUGAAGAAAGAUAUCGAUAUCAUUCACGUCAACACUGAAGAGCAACUGGCAGAUAUCUUCACGAAGCCCUUGGAUGAGAAAAGGUUUUGCAAGUUACGGUGUGAGCUAAAUAUCUUGGAAUCCUCUAAAGUCAUGUGAUCAGGCACACAUCCUAACACUUAUGCAUGUUGAUGACUUAGAUGUGCAACACACAAAGUAAUGUAUAUCUUCAAUCAAUGAAGAUUUACACUCUGAGUGUGAAUACAUUAACAUGGAAUAUGAGUUCGGAGCGCCACGAUAAUUGUGCGCCGUGUCUGGGUCUAAUACUUCCAAUACGGUGGGUAACGCCACCACCAACUUUCUCUGUUUGAAGUGUUUCACUCAUGGCGUUAUAUUGCAAUGACUUCGCAUUUGGUUUGUCUUCAGUUUCAAUUUAUCUUCAUGACUUUCUACACUAUGAUGAUUUGAUUGCUUUCUGAUAUAUAUAUAUAUAUAUAUAUACUAGUGUUCUGUCCUCUACAGCAUUCACUUAUAGCUAUGUCUUCAAGAUUGGAUCUUUUGAACUAAGUGAAUGUGAUCGGACCCUAACCUCUCUAUGCUUCCUAUCUCAAACUCUAUCUAUCCAAAUCAUAUGCAUUCUAUUGAAACUGUCAAAUGUCUUCUCUGCAUCCUAGUUAGCAGAAGGCAAAGAGACAAACAUUAAAUCUGUUUUAAAUGACUUAUCUUUAUUGUUGAAAUCCGGAGAAGCCGGAACAACUCUGAGUAUGUUGCAUGCUUGCCACGUACCCCUCAGAUGUGAACCGCCAGGGGCACCAGCGUAAUUGCACUGUGUCUCUCACCUACUUAUAAAUACUUGUCCCCUGCGGUAAAGAAAUCCUUCUUCCACCUCUCCACCUCCGUCAAAACCCUAGCGCCACCGCUAGCUCGCGACGACGCCGGCGACGAAGCACUUAGGUGCUGCGACUUCUCCAACGCUGUCCUCACGCCGGCCGCGGACAUCGUUCUCUCCGCCGUCGCCGUAGGUGUCCUCUGUCGCCAAGUUAAGGCACGGUGGGCUGAACUGCUCAAUCUCCUAUUCAUCCCAUCUAGCGGUUCUUCGUGCGGUAAAUAUAACUCUAGUUUUACCACCUUUUUGAUCUUCAAGAUUCAUCCUAUUUACCAAAAGUGGUUUCUGCCUAUUCAAUGUUAGAUCUAUUCUAUCUGCAUCUCAUACUGCCUAGUCAAUUCACUUAGAUUUCCUGUCUAGUUUGAUUCCUCACUUGUACUUAUUCACGGAUUGGUACAAAUCUGGAACCAACUCACCUAAAUAAGUGAAUGUCUUCGCAUCAUGAGGUCAAUGUCUUCAAACUGAUUUAUCUUCAAAAUCUUCUGAGAACGCAUAUGACCUCUUCCCCUUCCCUCGCAUCUCUAAUGCUGUCACAGGUACAUGUCCGUGGGAGAAUCCCUUGGUUCUCGUAGUCUGCAUUCGUUUGCAGAAUACUUACAGCAUCAUAUCAAUUCUCCUGAAGCCAGUUCCUGCUUGACCAGCAAGUGUAAGUCUCUGAAGCCUUUGAACGUAUUGAAGCCAUUCAGUUUGAAGUUCAUGGAUGCAGAAAAAUCAGCAAGGAAGGGUGGCAGACAGCGCAGAGAAGGAACAUCCAAAGAUCUGCCUGAUGACUUAGCAGAACUCUACAAGACAGAUCCCGAAGAGAAUUAUCAUCAGAGAAAGACGUGAAUCCAAUGGAUUCGAUGCUAUUGGGCUGAGGAAUGGUUCAAGUACAAGUUUGUGACGAAGGAAUAUGCAGAGAAGAAUGUCAUCAAAAGACCUUGGGGUGAUAUCCUCUAUCGAGGCCUUCAACCCAAGAACAGAGCUGAAGCCAUUGCUCAAGGCUUCUAUCCUUGCAUGGUCCAUGGACCACAGCCUGAGAACGCCGAUCCCACUUCACUACUCUCUCUUCAAGUGCAACUUCCAGUUUGCUGUGGCUUCGGCCAAGAAGAACAAGAAGUCAUUGGGAUUGGACUUCAACCCAGGUCCCUCUGCUCCCCGUGCUGACGGCUCCCGUGAUGCUGGUCCAAAUGUUAUCGGCCCCUUCUCCAACCUUGACGGCCUCAUCACCUACAUCGUGGUCCAAGGUGCCAGAGUAGAUCAUUCUGAAAAUGAUGCUGACUCCGAUGAAGCCCCUGCUCCUCCUCCAGAGCCGCAGAAGCAAAAGAAGCCAAAGGCUUCAAGAUCAGCUGCACCUUCGAAGACUUCUCAUGUGAAGCCACUGGCCACUGCACCUCCUGAAGCCAGUGUGUAGUCUGAAGAUCAAUCCCGUGUCUCCAAGAGAACGGAGAAGAAAAAGCAACUUGUCAGACCAUCUGAUCAAAGAGCCUUGACUCCUGCCGCCAUUCUGCAUGAAGAACCCAUUGAUCUGUCAAGCGAUGAAGAUCUUGCUGAUGAUGCCCUUGAGCAGCUGAUAAAGAGCAAGGAAGAAGCCGAAAUCUUCAACAACUUGCCUCUCUUUGAUGUGGCAAUCAUCCACAACUUCAUUGAUGAGUGGUUCGACACCCCCAAUCUCAGCUUUGAAGAUUUACAGCUUCCCAUUGGCCUCAGUGUCGCCUUCAAUGGCGCCAUUGCUUCUGAGCUAGCUCUCUCUCAGUGCAUCGUUGAGCUCAAGAACAAGAUUGAUUAUGAGAAGGCUCAAUUGAAGAAGCAUGUGGCCAAGCUAAGUGUUCAAGACGUCAGAAACUUCAAAGUCAUGCUACAUGAGCUUAAAGAAGCUUUUCUGAAGAAGCGUGAAGAAGCUCAAGGCUCUCGAGAGCGCAUGAAGAGUUUGGCUGAGAAGUGUGUGCUCGCCUACAAUGAGGCUGAGAAGCGCAAGUCAAUUGGCCGUCCUGGCAUUGACCCUAGGAUGGCUGCAAAGAAGAAGAAGAAGCUUCCUGCUGAUCAGCCUGAACCUUCAAGCCAAGAAGCCCCUCGCAUUAUCUUCCCAAGCAGCAUGACUGGCUCGAAGCCAAAGGUCACCACAACCGCUUCAGAACAGAAGAAGACGAGGGCCGCCGAGGCUGAAGCCAGAAAGAGAAAGAACACUGAAGCCUAUGAUGCCGCUCCCUCCAAGAAGAAGCGCAAGACCAAGAAGACUAGGGCUCCUUCCACAGAGCCCUUAGUUGUUGAACCCAUUUCAGUGGUUUGCCCAGCGUCAGAACAUCAAGAACGAAGGAUGAUAGUCCAUGAGCCUACUCCCACAGAGCCUCAUGAAGCUAAAGAUAUUCCAGCAGCUGAACCCACCGCUACUGAAGACAUUGGUCAUGAUGACAAUGUAGCUGAUGAUGAAGUUCUUCCUCAGAUCAAACAUGACGUGGUAUCAUCGCCUGUUCAUACGAACAGCAAACUCAUCAGCAUUGGUCGUCCUCUGACGCCAAUUGCUCAGUAUGCAUCGUGGGCUGAUCACCCACAACUACAAGACUCCCCCAGUACUCCCCAACAACAACAACAAGCUACACCCCCCGUGCAAGAAGAGGAUGAAGACUUUGAGGCCCAGCCAACUCCAUCUCCUAAGGCGUUGCCAGCAUUUCGCAGGCUUCGCAAAAGACAAAGGCCUCAAGUCCCUCUGUCGAGCGUUCCAGAAGAAGAAGUGCAACGUUCACCUGUUGCACGUCAAGUAUUUUCUGAACCUGCUCCAACUGUGAAUGUCUCCGAGUCUGAAGCACAUGUUGCUGAAGACAUUCCGGCUGCAUCAGCCAAGGAAAAUCAAGAAGAAGUACGUGUACCUACUCCCCCAGUAAUUGAAGAAGAAGCAGUUCCUGAUGUGAACGUGCCUGUGCCCGACCCUCCUGUUCGUCAAGAGGAGGUUGACAAUGUUGAGGCUGCCACCGCCAACACCAAUGAAGCCAAUGACAUAGUCAUGGCUGACGCUAAUGUGGAGCUUGCACCAACUAGUGUGCCUGAAGCAAAUGUGGCCACUGAACCUGAAACCACUGAGGCUGCUGCACCUGAAGCUAAUGAGACAACCGCUCCCAAAGCACCUAUUGUGCAGCCUGACACCUCAGCUGUUGCCCCUGCUCCUGUUCCGCCACCAAGGCCUCACACAAUUGAGCAAGCAUACAGUCAUGGUCAGCUUACCACUGUCCGAUGGCCCAUUCUGGUGCCUCUGCCUACUGCCUCAGGACCUCAAUUUGACUAUCAUGUUGAGCAUAGGCCUCAGGUCCAGAAGCCAAAGCCUAGGUUACCAAGGUUUCCAGGUACUGCAAACUCACCAGGGUCCUUCAAUGCAAAUGGCUUCAAAAGCCACAAUACCUUCUUUGACAGCACCAAGAACCCCUACUCCAAGCCAAGGAUAUCAUCAGAUCGGUUCUGGAGCUAUCAGCAGAGAAGCUAUUACUCCUCCGUUCUAUAUGAUCAAGGGCGCAUUUUCCCUCAUAUGCGCCUUGAUACUGAAGCCAUUGCUGGACUGCCGUGCUUAGAAGAAGCACUUGAUUGCUUUCGUGAUGAUGGUCUGCUGCACUUUGUGGCAGACAAAGAACAUUGGAAUGAAGAGCUAUUGCUUCAAUUCUAUGCUACUCUACACAUUCGCGGCUACUACAGAGACAUCAAGACAUGGGUUCUCGAGUGGAUGACUGGAAAUGUUCAUCAUGAAGCCAAAGCUAUGGAUAUCAUCGAGCUUACAGGGCUAGCCACUCCUGGAGAACUAUAUGAACCUGACUGUCAGCUACACCGCAAUGCUGUAGAGAGUAUCUUCCGUAAUCCAGAACCCAAUAUGAGCCAAAUGUUGAGCAUGAUGAAGCCCUUGCCAUCUGACGCUGAAUAUCCAACAGAUUUCUUUGUUGAAGACCUUGAGUAUCUGCCUCGCACCAUAUAUCAUAUCAUCAGGCGAACUCUAUGGCCUGUCAAAGGACAUUCAUCAGCGGCCAAGCUUGAAGGAGCUAUGAAGACUUUGGUCUUCUAUAUUCUCAAUGGCAUCAGCUUCAACACUCAAGAAUUCUUCAUCAGGCAACUUGCUGCUUCUGGCUCUGACUUAUUUGGUCUGAAGUUUUAUGCUCCAUGGGUCAUGCGCCUCAUCAAGAGACACUCAUCUGUCAAUUAUCAGCCCUCUACUCGCAAUCAUAUGAUCUUUCUGCCAGAGGUUGAUAUGUCAGUUGAAGAUAUAUACUCUGACCAUGCCAAGAGGCCUCUUUGUCUUCAGAAUGUCGAGCACCAAAGCUUCACUCAACCUAUUGAAGGUGUUCAAGCAGCGACACAAAUCUAUCCUUUGGCUGGAAACACUCGUCUGCCUCAUCAAGCACCCACUGAAGCCACUGAAAGCACCAUUGCACAACGGCCUCGGAAGCGUUCUCAUGUUCUCAAUGACCGAGAACUUCUUGUGGCCCUUCAUCAGAAAUAGGAUAAGCAUCAUUUCUGGCUCCAGAGACAGAUGCAAAGCCUCUUGGUGGAUGUCAAUCGCAUUCGCAACCUUGCCACCAAGAAUGCCUUUGUUGCUCAUGAAACUUGCCGGCGAUCAUGGAAGAGUUUGACCCUGGUCAGUGCUGAAGCUGAUCUUCAAGACGAUGGCUUCAAUGAAAGAUUCCAGUUUGACUCCACUCCUCCACGGACUACUGUCCUACGUCGCACUCCAUCUCUUUAAGACUCUGAAUAUUCUUCCUCCGCGGCAAUGGUAAAUGCCAGAGUGAUCGAUGAUGAAGAUGAUGCUACUUCACCACCUCCUACCACUGCGCGCAUCAACACUGCGCCAAGUUCAUCUGCACCGCCAACCAACAACGACAACCCUGCUGCUUCACCUACUCAUGAUGACGAGUAGAUACUCUAUGUCUUCAAACCUUUUUGGUCCUUACUGACAAAAGGGGGAGAAGCGUAUGAGUUGAUAGUCUUCAAGUGGGUUCAUAUGGGCGGUUGCAUUAUAUUUUGCUUCGUGCUUACAACUCUUGCCUUUUGAAACAUUUGGUUCUCUGAGUUGUAACACCUAAACUUGAUGGUCGUCUGCUACUUAUUUACUUCAUUGUGAUGCGAUGAUAACUUCCGCACUUAGAUCAUUCUCCAGACGUCCAUUCUUCAUUAUGCAUGUCAUUCUACUUGCUAUAUCAGUUCAUGCAUGAUGAAUUAUAUUCAUAAGUUGAAGUGGAUCUCCACAAGUACAACCUGCCAUGUGCAUUUGCAUUCCAAAAGCAAAUUACUUAUAUGCACAUCUUUAGGGGGAGCCCUUGCAAAUUAUGAAGACAAUUCCCUAUCCUUACAAUUUCACAUAUUUAUCCCCGUUGAAAACUUCAACCAGUUUAUCAUCAAUCACCAAAAAGGGGGAGAUUGUAAGUGCAUCUAGUGCCACCCCUAGUUGGUUUUGGAGUAUUGACGACAAAGUUGGUUGAGGGACUAAUGCGUUUGUGAGAAUUGCAGGAUAACGCAGGUAGUGUCCCUCAUCGAUUCGGUUUACCUACCGGAGAUGACCCCUAAAAAUGUAUGAAGACAUUGAAGACAAUGGUGGUAUGAGAAGAUAUUCAUAUUGAAGACUAUGACAUGAGAAGACAUUGCAUGAAGACUAUGGAGCGCAAAGACUGUGUGGUUUCGUAGUUUCCUUUUCUUCUUGGUUGACUCAUAGGAACCACCGUACUGUUAAGUGCGGUCCAAGUGAACUAAGUCAGAGUGACUGAAGUGAUGCUCAACUCAAAUCCUAUGUCUUUGAGCAAAGACAAUGAGAGCAAACCUUAUCCAGAGCUGGAUGAGUCAGCUUUGCUUGUAGCCCAAGUAAAGUUGUCGCGUGUGUUUGAAAACUGACCGUUGGAACACGUGUCAGUUCCUUAGUGGCCUAGGGUCAUUUUGGACAAAUCAGGUCGGGUUGCCUAGUGGCUAUAAAUAUCCCACCCCCUACACCAUAAAUUGGUGGCUGCUCAGAGUUUGUGCACGGCUUUUGUCGUUUGAGAGCAACCCACCUCGAAGCAUUUGAGAGAGAGAAAUCCUUGCGAGGACAAAGCCCAAACACCCAGAGCCAAAGAGUGUUAGGCAUCACUGAAGUCUUUCUGUCUGUGUGACCUGAAGACUUAUUACACUUGAGGACUGUGAAUCCUCCAGCCGGUUAGGCGUCGCGUUCUGAGCAUCCAAGAGUCAUUGUGGAUUGCCGGUGAACGAAGUUUGUGAAGGUUUGGAAGUCUCCCUUGAAGACUUACCAGAGUGAUUGGGCGAGGACUGGGUGUCCUUAGCUCAAGGGGAAUAAGGUGAAGACACGGUCUUCUGAGUUAAAUCUCAGCCGCCCUAACCAGACGUACAGUUGUCACAGCAACUGGAACUGGUCUAACAAAUCCUGUGUCUUCAACAAGCAACUGGUUCUAUCCCUUCCCAACCUUACUUAAGUUUGUCUUCGUGAAGACAUUGCCUAUCUGUGUAUCUGUUUGACUUCAUUGCUUGACUACUACUGUUGAUUGGCUUCAUACUAUCUUCUAUCCUGAUCCUUACUACCUAGCUGCUAUUAGUCCUGUACUUUCACAUCAUUGCAUACUUGACUAUGGCUUGCUUAGGGUAGUUUAUCUUCUGCUGCAUAACAAUUAGGUCAUUUCUGUUGUUUGUCUUUGAAACUUCCAAGUUUUGAAGACUUUCAUAAAAAUCGCCUAUUCACCCCCCCCCCCUCUAGUCGAUACUAGCACUUUCAGAGGGAGAAUCCGGACAUCAUAACCCGGACCCAUCUGCACUGCCCGACACCGAAAAUUCUGACACAAUUGGCGGUUCUGCCAACGAAGUAACAUCCUCAGCCCACAUAAUAAUGGCAGUCAUUGCCCCGUGGACGGAACCAUUCCUAGCCUACCUAACCAGGCAGGAACUUCCCGAGGACCAAAACGAGUCCCCUGCAUAGUGCGGCAAUCUAAAGCCUAUAAGGUCCAUGAGGGAGAGCUUUACAAGAAAAGCACAACCGGAGUCCUUCAAAGGUGUAUCUCCGAAGACGAAGGGCAGAACCUUCUGGCUGAAAUUCAUGCCGGACUCGGCGGGCACCACGCAGCAGCCCGGGCCCUUGUAGGCAAGGCCUUCUGUACAGGAUUUUAUUGGCCGACGGCCCGGGCAGAUGCUCAGGACUUAGUCAAAUGAUGCGUCGGUUGCCAGCUCUUUGCUAAUCAAAGCCACAUGCCACCCACCACCCUCAAAAUUAUACCGAUAACCUGGCCCUCGUGAUCUGGGGGCUUGACAUGGUUGGACCCCUUAAAGGAGGAACCCACAAGCAAAGAUACCUACUGGUCAUGGUGAAUAAGUUCACCAAAUGGAUAGAGGCCAAGCCUGUUAAGACGGCCGAAUCCGGACCGGUGAUAGACUUCAUAUCAGGGGUCGUACACCAUUACGGCGUCCCCCAUAGCAUCAUCACUGACAACGGCACGAACUUUACGGCCGACGAGGUUAAACUCUGGUGCAAAAACAUGGGCAUCAAACUUGAUUAUGCCUCAGUCUAUCACCCUCAAACUAACGGUCAAGUCGAGCGAGCAAAUGGUCUAAUCAUGAGAGGCAUCAAACCCCGAUUAGUGCGGUCCCUUAAGGAAUCUAACACGCACUGGGUAGAGGAGCUCAACUCUGUAUUCUGGGGGUUGCGGACCACUCCAAAUCGCACCAUCAGAUUUACACCAUUCUUUAUGGUAUACGACGCAGAGGCAGUUCUGCCCUAUGACAUAAUUCAUGACUCACCUCGCAUGCGCAUGUACGAAGAAAGAGAAGCCGAGCUCGAUCGGCAGGACAGUUUGGACGCAUUGGAGGAGGAGUGCGACGUGGCAAAAGCCCAUUCCGCAUUCUAUCAACAGCAAGCUCGAAGAUAUCAAAGCAGAGAAGUACGGGCCAAAACUUACAACGUUGGCGAGUUAGUUCUACGCUUGCCGGACAAGAAAAAUGACAAACUCAAGCCCAAAUGGGAAGGUCCCUUUAUCAUCGACUAAGUCCUGACUGGUGGAGCGUACCGUCUCCGAGAUGCACCGGAUAACUGACUUGAGCCGAACCCAUGGAACGCAGCCCGUCUCCGAAGAUUCUACGCCUAGAGCCGGAUCCUGAGUUUGUCUCCUUCCUCCGUCUAUAUUUUACACAUUAGUUGUCUUCUGUUUCUCUCCUUCUCCCCCCUUUCCUAUUACAGCCUUUGAAAGCUUGUUCGCGCAUUGUUUGCACACACUUGACGCACUAUCCGCGCUCAUUAUACUUGGGGGAUUCUUUAACAGAAGCUUAUUUAUACGGGCUUCAUGCCCAACACAUGUGUCACACUUCUGCAUGUACCUUUUAUUCACCAUUAUAUGCAUCGAUAUGACUUAAGUUUUGGACAAGGUGGGUUGCCUGGCUCCUGUGCUUACCCCUACGUUCCCGAUUGUUCGACUAGGCGAUAAAGGGAGCACCUCUACGAUUGUUACUGCCGGGUCAGCCGGAUAUGUACCUCAGACUGGGUGAAGCCGAAAGCUAGCAUUCUUAAGUUAAUAUUCGGUCGGUGAACGAAAAGGCGAUUUCUUAUCUAUUUAUUUAUCUGCCCCUAGAUGUUUUUCUGCUUUUUUCGCAGUCCGGACAUGCACUUUAGGGCAUGCCUCCCAGGGAAAGGAACCCCUAACAGAACUAUUCUCCUUGGAAGAUGUUUCUUACUAACCAUGUAAUAUAACAUAACUAGUUGGGCACUUGUCUGAUAAAGCACUAAUGACCCCUACGCCUAGUCUCCACGCAUGCCCCGGUUCUUAUAUAACCGCGAGGGUAUGCGGACACACUCCGGACUAUUGGGUCCCGAGGUUGAAGCGAAAAGGUCCGCUAUGACAAACGAUCUACAAUCCGGCUAGAAGGCAUUUUACAUGUCAUCUUAAAUUACAUAGUCAACUUGACUGGGCAUAUUCUUCUUCAAUGCCAUCCAGCAGGCUAUCUAGUUUACCGUCCUAUUGGGAAUACUUUGCGGCCAAUUCUACUUGGCUGUAAACUAAGCUCACAGGGAUCUCCUUCCCAUCGGGCCCCGCAGGUCCGACCUCGGCCAUGUGGUUUGGGUUAGCCUUCGUGUACCGCGUCUUCACCAUGGCCCAGGCCUCCCUGGCGCCUUGACGGUAGGCCAAUAUCUUCCAUAAGCGGAAGCGCUGCCGCACUCCCUGAAGCCUCUCUGCAAGCUCUCCAAGGCCUUCGGGCAGGGAGACAGAUGGCCACAAGGCCUGGGCGACGCCUUUCAUCACCUGCCGAACUCGUUCGUGCAGUUACGAGAGCUCGGGAAGAAGGUCACCCGUAGAAAUGGGCAUUUCCUCUGCAGGACGGCCUGUGAGCAUACCUACAGACGUAACUCUGUUAGUCGACUUCCUUGCCGAACUCUUUUUCAAAGUUCGUUCAAGCACUUACUAAAAAUGCCGCAUCGAAGCCGCCGAUUCUCCUUAACGGAGUCAGAUAGCUGGCCACGAACAUCCUUUAGUUCCUCACCCAGCUGGGUGUUGGCAUCUUGGAGAUUAUUUUUCUCCUGCCUCACCCUUGUAAGCACAUUCUCGCCGGCCUUUAAACGGCGCAUGAGCUGUUGCUUGUCCGGAUCCAUCCCGGCGCCAUAUGCAAUAUUAUUGUCAGACUUAUACACACGUCGCACUUCACAAAUUGCUUAUGUUUUGAAGCAUAUAUUACCAGAGGGAGUCUCUUUGGCUUCCCCCGCUGCGGCUAGCAUGGCCUCAAGUUGGGCUUUGCACUCAUCCAGCUCCUGGGACAGUUGGGUAUUCUUUUCAGUAAGAUCCUGCACAAUAAAUUAUCCUUAAAUCGGUUAUUCUUACUAUUUCAAGUCUCGGGGGCUACUGGCAUAUAUAACUGUCAAAUUUUCUCACCCGUAUGUCUUUUACAUACUGCUCCAUGGCUCUGGCUAGACCAUUUUGAGCGAUACGGAGGUGCGGAUCUCCCGAAUUAAAGGCAUCCAAUGCCUCUAGGGAGAAACACGCGUCACGAAGAACUAUCCGGAGGCGCCUGUGAUUCAUGGCACUCUCCACCUCGGAAUUGGUGGCAGAUAACCUGUCGGCAUCCUCUGUCGGAGGAACAUCCGACGCACACCCCGUGUUCGUCUCCGCUUCUGGACCUGGCUUUGGAGCCUGGCGAGCGGAGGAUUGAUUGGCAACCUCUCCGGAUAUAGUCCGGCGAGCGCUCUUCUUCCUGAAAAGGUACGAACGUUAGUAUGCCUCCUGGGAAUAAAGCCGGGGAGUAAGGUGACGCGCCAUACCCUUGCACCGGAGUUUCGAUCUGGACCGCACUUCUUUUUAGCCUGCUAGGCCGUGCUGCCCCUUGCUGGUUAGCCGCCACGGGCUCGGCCUUCCGCCUCAAGGGCGCCCCCUGCGAAACACCAUCGGUAUAUGGUGAUCAAAAACACGCAUGGAUUGGUCAUUUUCCAAGUAUUGGGACUUCGGUCUCAGUUACCGGCGAAGCGGGAAGUAUUCCGGGGUAAUCGGCCGUAAUGGUGACCAAGGCAUUAUCGAUGCUCAGUUGGUGGAAAACCCCGUCGAUCAGCUCCACAGAUAUGUCCAGAUCCUCUUGGGAGGUCGGAUCGAGGAACCGUUCCGGAUCCUCGGGUUGUGGAGGCGGGCUGUUUAUAUCCUUUACGGCCCGGCGCAGUUCCUGCGCCAAAAUCACAAAAUGAGAUACUUGACUAUGGGAGUACGGAUCGGAUAGGCAAAAAUAGAUGUCCGCUUACCCAGCUUGGAGGAUUGUUCAUAGAAAAUCCGCCCUGCGGAUUGAUGCGGAUGAAUUCCUCCUCUUCUCCCUUGUACAAUGCGGACAAGAUCUUCAUCAGAUCGGCGACCAAUCCCGGCCCCUUAUGGCCACAGCGGGUGGCAUCAUCCUCCCUGUUGAAAUCCCACAUGGGGUGGCCUCUAUACUGGAGUGGCUGCAUCCCCCGCAUAAUGCAUGUGGCCAUGACCCCGAUCAUGGUCAGUCCGGAAUGAGCUAACAACCUUAUCCGGCUCAUUAGGUAAAUGACAUCCCUGUCGUUUUCCCUCUGAGGGCUCCAUGGAUGCCAGCUUAGGCGUUUCUUCAAAGGAGCAUUAUUAAACUCAGGGAGGCCGACCCGAACAGGGUCCGGCAGGGGGACAUCUUCUAUAUAAAACCAUGUCGAAGGCCAGUCUUCGGACGCCUUCUUCGGGGUUCCGGAUAGAUAUACGGUCCCAGCGAUGCGCCAUAGUUCGGCUCCGCCCACUUGAUAUAUUGACCCCUCUUGAGAACGGGGCACAAGGAAGAACAGCUUCUUCCACAUCGCAAAAUGAGCCUCGAGGCCCAAAAACAGCUCACAAAGGGCCACGAAGCCCGCAAUAUGCAAAAUGGAGGCAGGCGUAAGGUUGUGCAACUGGAGGCCGUAGAACUCCAGGAGCCCCCGGAGAAACGGAUGAAUUGGAAAUCCGGGCCCUCUUAUCAAAUAAGAGACAAGUUGGAGGGGCUGGGGACGCUCUCCGCUUGCUUUCCGCCCUUAUAGGUGGCGAGUCCGGCUUGAACCGGAACCAUGAAGGCUGGGGGAAGAAAUCCCUUGGUUUGGAGCGCCACUAGCUCACUGUGCGGGACGGAGCAUCUCUCCCAGUCUCCCGGCUGUGGGCUGGGAGGGCGAGAGGAGGAGCCGCGUCGACUGUCCAUGAUGGAAUGGAUUUCUGUCAGAUGCGCUCUGAUGAAUGCUCGUGAAGGGAGGAUGGUGUGAUUCGGAUCUAGAUCCUCGUCUCUUUUAUAGGCAGCUCAUCUGCGCAGCUAGAGGGAUAAAUGUAAAAAUACCCUGGCUUUUCGCAUUCGUUCGACACGUGGAAGAUGGCCAUUAUUGGGAGUGGAAAUCGAGGAGCACAAUAUUUACAAGAAGCCGGACGCUAUUCAACAGGUACACAGGAUUUGGAGAAUAACCCGCCUUGCAAUGCCGAAGACAAUCUAUGCGCCGGACUCAUCGCCAUUGAAGCCUGGUUCGGGAGCUACUGAGGGAGUCCUGGAUUAGGGCGUGUUCGGAUAGCCGGACUAUAACCAUUGGCCGGACUCCUGGACUAUGAAGAUACAAGAUUGAAGACUUCGUCCCGUGUCCGGAUGGGACUUUCCUUGGCAUGGAAGGCAAGCUUGGCAAUACGGAUAUGUAGAUCUCCUACCAUUGUAACCGACUCUGUGUAACGCUAACCCUCUUCGGUGCCUAUAUAAACCGGAGGGUUUUAGUCCGUAGGACGAACAACAAUCAUACCAUAGGCUAGCUUCUAGGGUUUAGCCUCUCAGAUCUCGUGGUAGAUCUACUCUUGUACUACCCAUAUCAUUAAUAUCAAUCAAGCAGGAGUAGGGUUUUACCUCCAUCGAGAGGGCCCAAACCUGGGUAAAAACAUCGUGUCCCUUGUCUCCUGUUACCAUCCGCCUAGACGCACAGUUCGGGACCCCCUACCCGAGAUCCGCCGGUUUUGACACCGACACCGUUCUUACCACUUCUUUCAUUUUCGGAUUUAACUGACAUUGGUGAUCAACAAUGGGUUUCGCACCAGGUUCCAUAUUAAUCUUGUGCUGACAUAGAGUGGGACUAAUGCUCUUAAGAUCAUUAAGAGUAUAUCCAAUAGCAGCCAUGUGCUUACUUAGAACUUUCAAUAAUCUUUCUUCUUCAUGUUCUGAAAGGUUAGCACUAAUAAUAACAGGAUAUAUCUUCUUUUCAUCAAGAUAAGCAUAUUUCAUUGUAUCUAUUAAUUGUUUUAAUUCAAACAUAGGAUCACCUUUAGGUGGAGGAGGACCUCCUAGAGUUUCAAUAGGCAAAUUGUGUUUAAGCAGAGGUUGUUGUUGGAAAAAGAUUCUAUCUAUUUCAUUUCUUUCACGCAUAUGCAAAUCAUUUUCAUAGUCUAGCAAAUAUUGUUCCAAAGGAUCAGUAGGAGGCACAACAAUAGAAGUAAGACCAAUAAUUUCAUCCUUACUAGGCAAAUCUUUCUUAUGAGGUUGUUUACUAAACUUGGAAAAAUUAAAUUCAUGAGAUUCAUCACCAAAGCUAACACCGAUAUUUGUUUCUCACAAUCUAUUUUAGCAUUGACGAUGUUCAAGAAAGGUCUACCAAAAAUAAUGGGACAAAAGUCAUCUUGUGGGGUGCUAAGAACAAGAAAAUUAGUAGGGUAUUUUAUUUUCACACACAUGACUUCAGUAUCUCUAAGAAUCCCAAUUGGUGAUAUAGUAUCUCUAUUAGCAAGUUUAAUAUUAACAUCUAUGUCUACUAUUUCAGCUAGUGCUAUUACAUCUUUAAUUUCUUGAUAUAAGAAGAAAGGAAUAGCACUCACACUAGCACCUAGGUCACAUAACCCAUGAUAACAAUGAUCUCCUAUCUUAACUGAGACAACAGGCAUGCCAACAACUGGUCUAUGUUUAUCUUUUCCUUCAAGUUUGGUAAUUCUAGAAGCUUCACUACAGCAGUAGAUAAUGUGCCCAUCAAUAUUAUCAACUAAGAGAUCUUUAACCAUAGCAACACUAGGUUCAACUUUGAUUUGUUCAUAUGGUUUUAGUGUUCUAGCAUAACUUUUGUUAACCACAGUUGAAGCUUUAACAUGUUCCUUCGUCCUAACAGGAAAAGGUGGUUUUUCAAUAUAAGAAGUGGGGACAACUGGAUCAACAUUGUAAAUGAUAGUUUCUUCUUUAGCUUUUACCAGUUCUUUAAUUUCCUAUAUAAUUGGUUGGUGAUAUUUAAACCACUUCUCCUUAGGGAGAUCAACAUGAGUAGAAAAAGAUUCACAAAAGGAAGCUACUAUCUCAGAGUCAAGUCCAUAUUUAGUGCUAAACUUUUGAAAAGCAUCGGUAUUCAUAAAAGAUUUAACACAAUCAAACUUAGGUUCAAUACCUGACUCUUUACCUUCAUCGGGUUCCCAAUCUUCAGAGUUGCGUUCAAUUCUUUCUAAAAGAUCCCACCAGAAUUCAAUAGUCUUCUUCAUAAAAGAACCAGUACAAGAGGUCUCGAGCAUGGAUUGAUCAUUACGAGAAAGCUGUGCAUAAAAAUUCUGAAUAAUAAUUUCUCUUGAGAGCUCAUGAUUGGGGCAUGAAUAUAACAUUGACUUAAGCCUCCCCCAAGCUAGAGUGAUACUUUCUCCUUCACGAGGCAAAAAAUUAUAUAUAUAAUUCCGAUCACGAUGAACUAGAUGCAUAGGAUAAUUUUUUUGAUGAAAUUCCAAUUUCAAGCGGUUCCAGUUCCAAGAUCCAAUAUCAUCGCAUAGCCUAUACCAUUUCAAUGCUUUUCCCUUCAAAGAUAAAGGGAAAACCUUCUUAUUAGCUUCAUCUCUGGGCAAAUCUGCAAGCUUAAACAAUCCAUAAAUUUCAUUCACAUAUAUCAAGUGCAUAUCAGGAAGUUCGGUUCCAUCUCCUGCAUAAGGAUUAGCCAGCAGUUUCUCUAGCAUACCCAAAGGAAUUUGAUAUUGAAUAUUUUCAAUAGGUGCAGUAGGUUGAGGGGUAACUAAUUGUGGUUCCGGUCAAGGUGAAGAUACCCCAAACAAACCUCUCAAAGGAUUGUUUUCCCUAGUAGCAAGUGACAAUAAAUUUCAGCAUGUAGUAAUAAUGUUUCCUUACCAAUUUCCACAUACCAAGAGCGCUUCACUCCCCGUCAAUGGUGCCAUAAAAUUGCCUUGAUGACCCACAAGUAUAUGGGGUCAAUUGUAGCCUUUUUCGAUAAGUAAGAGUGUCGAACUCAACGAGGAGCAGAAGGAAAUGACAAGUGGUUUUCAGCAAGGUAAUGUCUUCAAGUGCUAAAAUUGUGAGUAGCAGAGUAGUUUGAUAGCAAGAUAAUUUGUAAAGAGCAAGUAACAAUAGUAGUAGCAAAAGUGAAGCAAGGUAGUCCAAUCCUUUUAAGGCAAAGGACAGGCCAAAACGGUUUCUUAUGAUAAGCAAAGUGUUCUUGAGGGUACACGGGAAUUUCAUCUAGUCACUUUCAUCAUGUUGGCUUAAUUCGUGUUCGGUACUUUGAUAAUUUGAUAUGUGGGUGUGAUACGUCUCCAAUGUAUCUACUUUUCCAAACACUUUUUCCCUUGAUUUGGACUCUAACUUGCUUGAUUUGAAUGAAACUAACCCGGACUGACGUUGUUUUCAGCAGAACACUACUAGGAAAAGGGCUAUAGAUAGGAUGGACUCUAAUGGCGCACUGUACAUGUGGUGUGCCAUUACUAAAUACUAAUGGCGCACCAUGUGUUGGUGCGCCAUUAGUGUGCAAAUACUAAUGGCGCACCACAUCCUACGGUGCGCCAUUAGUAAAAAAGUUUUUUUUAAUUUUUUCAAAACUACUAAUGGUGCACCGUGGGGGUGGUGCGCCAUUACUAGUUUGACAUAGUAAUGACGCACCACACCCACGGUGCGCCAUUAGUAGUUUUGAAAAAAAAAAUCAAAAAAAUAAAAAAAAUUGUUAGUAAUGGCGCACCAGCGGACAGUGCGCCAUUACUAGUUUUAACUAGUAAUGGCGCNNNNNNNNNNNNNNNNNNNNNNNNNNNNNNNNNNNNNNNNNNNNNNNNNNNNNNNNNNNNNNNNNNNNNNNNNNNNNNNNNNNNNNNNNNNNNNNNNNNNNNNNNNNNNNNNNNNNNNNNNNNNNNNNNNNNNNNNNNNNNNNNNNNNNNNNNNNNNNNNNNNNNNNNNNNNNNNNNNNNNNNNNNNNNNNNNNNNNNNNNNNNNNNNNNNNNNNNNNNNNNNNNNNNNNNNNNNNNNNNNNNNNNNNNNNNNNNNNNNNNNNNNNNNNNNNNNNNNNNNNNNNNNNNNNNNNNNNNNNNNNNNNNNNNNNNNNNNNNNNNNNNNNNNNNNNNNNNNNNNNNNNNNNNNNNNNNNNNNNNNNNNNNNNNNNNNNNNNNNNNNNNNNNNNNNNNNNNNNNNNNNNNNNNNNNNNNNNNNNNNNNNNNNNNNNNNNNNNNNNNNNNNNNNNNNNNNNNNNNNNNNNNNNNNNNNNNNNNNNNNNNNNNNNNNNNNNNNNNNNNUUUUUAAAAAAUAAAAGCAAAUGAUGAAAUGUCAAAAAAAUAAAAGAAAAUAAGUUUCCCAUGUAAUAUGUGGUCUAGUUGUUGGGAAAAUUUAGAAAUAUGAAUUUCGACUUUAUUUGCAAAAUCUCUUUGGAAAUUUGUAAAAUGGGCAUAACUUUUGCAUACGAACUCGGAUUAAAAAGUUUUAUAUAUGAAAAAGCAUCUACUCGAAAAGUUACAUCCGAAUUUAACCGGGGAAACCCCGUUAAACAUUUUCAAAAUCCCCAAAAACCUAACAGAAAAAAGUUACGGGGCUUUCAAGAUCUAGAGGCAAAAAAAUUCAAAAAAUUUCAAAAAUAUUGGUUUUGAAAAAAAAAUUGAAUUGUUUUUCAAAAUAUGAUACGUAAUAUGACGGGAAAGUAUUUUUCAAAAUUUCAUCAUAGUCAUGAACAUGAACAAAGUCCUAGACAUCAACAAGGUAUAAUAGGAUUGAUAUGCUAGAUAUAUCAACAAGUGCCUGUGAAGUGAGUUGUUGCUGGGGUUGGAUAAAACUCUGAAGUUAAGCGUGCUUGGGCUGGAGUAGUGUGAGGAUGGGUGACCUUUUGGGAAGUUUGACCAUGGAGUGCGAUUUGACCUGAAAUUAAGCAUAUUGACCCGAGAUUAAGCCAUAGUGACCUGAGAUUAAGAAAAAAAUAAAAAAAUAAAAAAAAUAAAAAAAAUUCUAAAAAAAAUUUGAAAAAAAAUUGUUACUAAUGGCGCACUUCUAUGUGGUGCGCCAUUACCCUGGGAGGAAUUCUAAUGGCGCACUGUGGGCAAUACUAAUGGCGCACUACGUGGUGCGCCAUUAAAACACCAGAUACUAAUGGCGCACCAGUGGUGCGCCAUUAGAAUUUAAUUCUAAUGGCGCACUACGUGGUGCGCCAUUAAAACACCAGAUACUAAUGGCGCACCAGUGGUGCGCCAUUAGAAUUUAAUUCUAAUGGCGUGAUGCUAGUGGCGCACCAGUAGUGCGCCAUUAGAAGGCAAAACUGGUGCGCCACUAGCAUGCCUUUUCCUAGUAGUGGAACUGCCAUGAUGUUGUUUUAUGUGUAGAAAGCAAAAGUUCUCGGAAUGUCUUGAAAAUCCACGGAGGCACGUUUUGAAAAAUACAAAAAAAUACUAGCGAAAGAACCAAGACCAGGGUCCCACACCCUAUCCACGAGGGUGGGGGGCGCCCCCUCCCCGGGGGAGUGCCCCCCUGUCUCGUGGGCCCCUGGACCUCAACCGACCUCAACUCCAACUCCAUAUAUUCACGUUCGGGGAGAAAAAAAAUCAGAGAGAAAGUUUCAUCGCGUUUUACGAUACGGAGCCGCCGCCAAGCCCUAAUCUCUCUCGGAAGGGCUGAUCUGGAGUCCGUUCGGGGCUCCGAAGAGGGGGAUUCGUCGACGUCGUCAUCAUCAACCAUCCUCCAUCACCAAUUUCAUGAUGCUCACCGCCAUGCAUGAGUAACUCCAUCGUAGGCUUGCUGGAUGGUGAUGGGUUGGAUGAGAUUUACCAUGUAAUAAAGUUAGUUUUGUUAGGGUUUGAUCCCUAGUAUCCACUAUGUUCUGAGAUUGAUGUUGCUAUGACUUUGCUAUGCUUAAUGCUUGUCACUAGGGCCCGAGUGCCAUGAUUUCAGAUCUGAAUCUAUUAUGUUUUCAUGAAUAUAUGUGUGUUCUUGAUCCUAUCUUGCAAGUCUAUAGUCACCUAUUAUGUUUUAUGAUCCGACAACCCUGAAGUGACAAUAAUCGGGAUACUUCUCGGAUAUGACCAUAGUUUGAGGAGUUCAUGUAUUCACUAUGUGCUAAUGCUUUGUUCCGGUUCUCUAUUAAAAGGAGGCCUUAAUAUCCCUUAGUUUCCACUAGGACCCCGCUGACACGGGAGGGUAGGACAAAAGAUGUCAGGCAAGUUCUUUUCCAUAAGCAUGUAUGACUAUAUUCAGAAUACAUGCCUACAUUACAUUGAUGAACUGGAGCUAGUUCUGUAUCACCCUAUGUUGUAGCUAUUACAUGAGGAAUCGCAUUCGGCAUAAUUAUCCAUCACUGAUCCAAUGCCUAAGAGCUUUUCACAUAUUGUGUUUCACUUAUUUACUUUUCCGUUGCUAUUGUUACAAUCACUACAAAACCCAAAAACAUUACUUUUGCCACUGUUACCUUCAUUAUCAUACUACUUUGCUACUAAAUACUUUGUUGCAGAUACUAAGUUAUCCAGGUGUGAUUGUAUUGACAACUCAACUUCUAAUACUCAAGAAUAUUCUUUGGCUCCCCUUGUAUCGAAUCAAUAAAUUUGGGUUGAAUACUUUACCCUCGAAAGUUGUUGCGAUCCCCUACACUUGUGGGUUAUCAAGACUAAUUUCUGGCGUCGUUGCCGGGGAGGUCUUCGCUCAAGUCAAGACAUACCAAGUACCCAUCAAAAACUCAUCUCCCUCGCAUUUACAUUAUUUGCCAUUUGCCUAUCAUUUUCCUCUCCCCCACUUCACCCUUGCCGUUUUAUUUUCCCUCUCUUUCCCAAUCUCCUCCUCUCUUUUCGCUUGCCUUUUUCUGUUUGCUUUUAUGUUGGAUUACUUGUUGCCAUGGUGCAAGAUAAUACCAAAUUGUGUGAUUUCUCGAAACCAAUAAUAAUUAUUUCCUCGGUAAUCCGAUUGCUCCUCUUAAUGAUGUUGAAUCUUGUGAAAUCAAUACUGCUUUGCUGAAUCUUGUUAUGAAAGAUCAAUUCGCUGGCCUUCCUAGUGAAGAUGUCGCUACUCAUCUAAACAACUUUGUUGAUUUGUGUGAUAUGCAAAAGAAGAAAGAUAUAGAUAAAAAUAUUGUUAAAUUGAAGUUAUUUCUGUUUUCACUUAGAGAUCGUGCUAAAGUUUGGUUUUCGUCUUUGCCUAAAAAUAGUAUUGAUUCUUGGAACAAGGGCAAAGAUGCUUCUAUCUCUAAGUAUUUUCCUCCCGCUAAGAUUAUCACUCUUAGGAACGACAUUAUGAAUUUUAAACAACUUGAUCAUGAGCAUGUUGCCCAAUCUUGGGAAAUAAUGAAAUUGAUGAUUCGCAAUUGCCCUACUCAUGGUUUGAAUUUAUGGAUGAUCAUACAAAAAUUUUAUGCAUGUUUGAACUUUGGUUCUAGAAAUCUCUUAGAUUCGACCGUGGGACGCACGUUUAUGGAAAUCACGUUAGGAGAUGCUAAAAAACUUCUUGAUAAUAUUAUGGCUAAUUAUUCUCAAUGCCACACCGAAAGAUCUUCUAGUAGAAAAGUGCAUGCUAUAGAAGAAAUCAAUGUUUUGAGUGGAAAGAUGGAUGAACUUAUGAAGUUGUUUGCUACUAAAAAUACUCCUCUUGAUCCCAAUGAUAUGCCUUUGUAUAAUUUGAUUUAGAAUAAUAAUGAAUCUAUGGAUGUGAAUUUUGUUGGUAGGAAUAGUUUUGGAAACAAUGCAAAUAGAGGAAACUUUAAUUCUAGACCGUUCCCUAGUAAUUCCUCUAAUAAUUAUGGAAAUUCCUACAAUAAUUCUUAUGGCAAUUUUAAUAAGAUGCCCUGUGAUUUUGAGAAUAGUGUGAAAGAAUUUAUGAUCUCUCAAAAGAAUUUUAAUGCUUUGCUUGAAGAAAAAUUGCUCAAAGUUGAUGAUUUGGCUAGGAAUGUUGAUAGACUUUCGCUUGAUGUUGAUUCUCUUAAACUUAGAUCUUCUCCUCCUAAGCAUGAUAUCAAUGAAUAUCUCAAAGCCAAGAGAAUUUCCAUUGAUGAUUGCAAGGAAAGAACCGCUAGAUUGCGUGCUAAGAAAGAUUGCUUUGUAAAGGCGUGUUCUUCUAGUUUCCAUCAAAAUAAUGAUGAAGAUCUUAAAGUUAUUGAUGCGUCUACUAUUAGAUCUUUGUUUUGAAAUAUGAAUCUUGAUAAUUAUGGGACUGAUGAUGAGUCAACUUUACCUAAAAGGCGUCCCAAGAAUUCAGAGUUUUUAGAUCUUGAUGCUAAAUUUGGUAAAAGUGGGAUUUGAGAGGUCACGACUUUAAAUAGUAUUGAACCCACUAUAUCGUAUUUCAAGGAAUUUGAUUAUGAUAAUUGUUCUUUAGAAGGUUGUAUUUCCUUGUUGCAAUCCAUUGUUAAUUUUCCUCAUGCUUAUAGUCAAAAUAAAGCUUUUACCAAACAUAUCGUUGAUGCCUUGAUGCAAUCUUAUCAUGAAAAACUUAAUUUGGAAGUUUCUAUACCUAGAAAACUUAACGAUGAGUGGGAACCUACUAUAAAGAUUAGAAUUAAAGAUCAUGAGUGUUUUGCUUUGUGUGAUUUGGGUGCUAGUGUUUCCACAAUUCCGAAAACUUUAUGUGAUAUUCUACGUUUCCAUGAUCUUGCUGAUUGCUCUUUAAAUUUGCACCUUGCGGAUUCCACCAUUAAAAAGCCAAUGGGAAGGAUCAAUGAUGUUCUCAUUGUUGCAAAUAGAAAUUUUGUGCCCGUAGAUUUUAUCGUUCUUGAUAUAGAUUACAAUCUUUCUUGCCCUAUUAUUCUUGGUAGACCUUUCCUUAGAAUGAUUGGCGCGAUUAUUGAUAUGAAGGAAGGGAAUAUUAGAUUCCAAUUUCCAUUAAAGAAAGGCAUGGAGAACUUUCCAAGAAAUUAAGUCAAAUUACCUUAUGAAUCUAUCAUGCGGGCUACUUAUGAAUUUAGUGCCAAAGAUGGCACUACUUAGAUCUAUCUUUGCUUUUAUGCGUAGCUAGGGGCGUUAAACGACAGCGCUAGUUGGGAGGCAACCCAAUUUUCUUUGUGUCUUUUGUUUUUGUUCCUGUUUAGUAAUAAAUAUUGCAUCUACCUUCUAUUUAGAUGUGUUUUUAUCUUUUAAUUAGUGUUUGUGCCAAGUAGAACCUAUAGGAUAACCUAUGAUGAUAGUUGAUUUGAUUCUGCUGAAAAACAAAAACUUUGCGCGCACGAAAUUAGUUUUGUUAAAUCACAGAAACGUGAUUUUGCGUUGAUUCUUUUUGCUUCUGAUCAAUAUACAAAUUGUCCAGGACUUCAUAUUUGUUUAGGAUUUUUAAAUGUCCAUAAGUUUGCAUUCGUUACAGAUUUCUACACACUGUUCUGUUUUUUGACGGAUUCUGUUUUUUCGUGUGUUGUUUGCUUAUUUUGAUGCAUCUAUGGCUAGUAAAAUAGUUUAGAAAGCAUAGAUAAGUUGGAAUACAGUAGGUUUAACACCAAAAUAAAGAAAGAAUCAGUUCAUUACAGUACCUUAUGUGGUGGUUUUGUUUUCUUUCACUAAUAGAGCUUAUAAGAUUUCCUAUUGAGUUUUGUGUUGUGAAGUUUUCAAGUUUUGGGUAAAGCUUUUAUAUACUAUGGAAUAAGGAGUGGCAAGAGCCUAAGCUUGGGGAUGCCCAUGGAACCCCAAGAUAUUCAAGGAUAGCCAAAAUCCUAAGCUUGGGGAUGCCCCGGGAAGGCAUCCCCUCUUUCGUCUUUGUUCAUUGGUAACUUUACUUUGAGCUAUUAUUUUAUUCGCCACAUGAUAUGUGUUUUGCUUGGAGCGUUGUGUAUUAUAUUAGUCUUUGCUUUUUAGUUUACCAAAAUCAUCCUUGUCGUACACACCUUUUUGGGAGAAGCCUACUUGAUUGAAUUUAUUAGAAUAUGAUAUGUGCUUCACUUAUAUCUUUUCAGCUUGAUAGUUUUUGCUCUAGUGCUUCACUUAUAUCUUUCAGAGCACGGCGGUGACUUAUUUUUGUAGAAAUUGCUAGUCUCUCAUGCUUCACUUGUAUUAUUUUGAGAGUCUUUUACAACAGCAUGGUAUUUGCUAUGGUUAUAAAAUUGGUCCUAGAAUGGUAGGCAUCCAAGUUGGGUAUAAUAAAAACUAUCAUAGGAAGUGAAUUGGAUGCUAUGAUCGAUUUGAUACUUGAUAAUUGUUUUGAGAUAUGGAGGUAGUGAUAUUAAAUUCAUGCUAGUUGGGUGAUUAUGAAGUUAGCAAGUCCCGUAGCAUGCACGUAUGGUUAAAGUUGUGUAACAAAUUUGAAACAUGAAGUGUACCUGGCUUGUGCAUCCUUAUGAGUGGCGGUCGGGGACGAGCGAUGGUCUUUUCCUACCAAUCUAUCUCCCUAGGAGCAUGCGCACAGUGCUUGAUUUUUGAUGACUUCUAAAUUUUUGCAAUAAGUAUAUUAGUUAUUUUGACUAAUGUUGAGUCCAUGGAUUAUGCGCACUUUUACCUUUCCGCCAUUGCUAGCCUCUUCGGUACCGUGCAUUGCCCUUUCUCACCUUGAGAGUUGGUGCAAAGUUCGCCGGUGCAUCCAAACCCCGUGAUACGAUACGCUCUAUCACACAUAAACCUCCUUAUACCUUCCUCAAAAUAGCCAUCAUACCUACCUAUUAUGGCAUUUCCAUAGCCAUUCCGAGAUAUAUUGCCAUGCAACUUCCCACUGUUCCAUUCGUCAUCAUCAUGACAUACUUUACUUUUGUCAUAUUGCCAUUGCAUGAUCCUGUAGUUGACAUCGUAUUUGUGGCAAAGCCACCAUGCAUAAUUUUUCAUACAUGUCACUCUUGAUUCAUUGCACCAUCCCAGUACAUCGCCGGAGGCAUUCAUAUAGAGUCAUAUCUUGUUCUAGUUUCGAGUUGUAAUUCAUAUGUUGUAAUCAAUAAAAGUGUGAUGAUCAUCAUUAUUAGAGCAUUGCCCACAGAAAAAAAUGGAAAAAAGAAGAAAAGAAGAAAGGCCAAAAAUAAAAAAGAAAGGCCCAAUAAAAGAAAAAGAAAAAGAAAAAAUAAAUAAAUAAAAGGGGUAAUGUUACUAUCUCUUUUUCCACACUUGUGCUUCAAAGUAGCACCUUGUUCUUCAUGUAGUGAGUCUCAUAUAUUGUGCUUCAAAGUAGCACCAUGUUUUUCAUAUAGUGAGUCUCAUAGGUUGUCUUUUUCAUACUAGUGGGAAUUUUUCAUUUUAGAACUUGGCUUGUAUAUUCCUACAAUGGGCUUCCUCAAAUGCCCUAGGUCUUAGUGAGCAAGCAAGUUGGAUGGACACCCACUAGUUUUCUUUUGUUGAGAAUUCAUUUAUAACGCUAGUGCAUCCGUUGCAUGGCAAUCCCUACUCCUCAUGUUGACAUCAGUUGAUGGGCAUCUCCAUAGCCCUUUGAUUAUCCUCGUCAAUGUGAGACUUUAUCCUUUUUUGUCUUCUCCACACAAUCCCCAUAAUCAUAUUCUAUUCCACCCAUAGUGCUAUAUCCAUGGCUCACGCUCAUGUAUUGCGUGAAGGUUGAAAAAGUUUGAGAGUAUUUAAGUAUGAGACAAUUGCUUGGCUUGUCAUCGGGGGUAUAGAAGUUGGGAACAUCUUUGUGUGACAAAAAUGAAGCAUAGCCUAACUAUAUGAUUUUGUAGGGAUGAACUUUCUUUUGCCAUGUUAUUUUGAGAAGACAUGAUUACUUUGAUUAGUAUGCUUGAAGUUUUACUAUUUCUUUUAUCAAUAUGAACUUUUAUUUUGAAUCAUUUUGGAUCUGAACAUUCAAGCCACAAUAAAGAAAAUUACAUUGAGAAAAUUUUGCUAGGUAGCAUUCCACAUCAAAAAAUUCUGUUUUUAUCAUUUACCUACUCGAGGACGAGCAGGAAUUAAGCUUGGGGAUGCUUGAUACGUCUCCAAUGUAUCUAUAAUUUUUUAUUGUUCCAUGCUAUUACAUUACCCCUUUUGGAUGUUUAUGGGCUUUAUUUUACACAUUUAUAUCAUUUUUGGGACUAACCUACUAACCGAAGGCCCAGCCCGUAUUGCGGUUUUUUUGCCUAUUUCAGUAUUUCAAAGAAAAGGAAUAUCAAACGGAGUCCAAACGGAAUGAAACCUUCGGGACCAUGAUUUUUGGAACGAACGUGAUCCAGAGGACUUCGAGUGCAAGUCAAGAAGCAGCCGAGGCGGCCACGAGAGGGUAGGCCCCCCCUAUAGGGUGCCAAAAACAUCCUAUAUAAGCCUACAUACCCCAAAAACAUCCAGGGAGCCAACGAAACACAAUUUCCACCGCCGUAACCUUCUGUAUCCGCGAGAUCCCAUCUUGGAGCCUUCGUCGGCGCUCCUCCUGAGGGGGAAUCGACCAUGGAGGGCUUCUACAUCAACACCAUAGCCCCUCCGAUGAGUUGUGAGUAGUUUACCACAGACCUUCGGGUCCAUAGUUAUUAGCUAGAUGGCUUCUUCUCUAUUUUUGGAUCUCAAUACAAUGUUCUCCCCCUCUCUUAUGGAGAUCUAUUCGAUGUAAACUCUUUUUGCGGUGUGUUUGUCCAGAUCCGAUGAAUUGUGGGUUUAUGAUCAAGUUUAUCUUUGAGAAAUAUUUGAAUCUCCUCUGAAUUCUUUUAUGUAUGAUUGAGUUAUCUUUGCAAGUCUCUUCGAAUUAUCAGUUUGGUUUGGCCUACUAGAUUGAUCUUUCUUGCCAUGGGAGAAGUGCUUAGCUUUGGGUUCAAUCUUGUGGUGUCCUUACCCAGUGACAGAAAGGGUUGCAAGGCACGUAUUGUAUUGUUGCCAUCGAGGAUAAAAAGAUGGGGUUUAUAUCAUAUUGCAUGAGUUUAUCCCUCUACAUCAUGUCAUCUUGCUUAAGGCAUUACUCUAUUCUUAUGAACUUAAUACUCUAGAUGCAGGCAGGAGUCAGUCGAUGUGUGGAGUAAUAGUAGUAGAUGCAGGCAGGAGUCGGUCUACUUGACACGCACGUGAUGCCUAUAUACAUGAUCAUGCCUAGAUAAUCUCAUAAUUAUUCGCUUUUCUAUCAAUUGCUCGACAGUAAUUUGUUCACCCACCAUAAUACUUAUGCUAUCUCGAGAGAAGCCUCUAGUUAAACCUAUGGCCCCCGGGUCUAUCUCUUAUCAUAUUUGCUUCCAAUCUACUUUUAUUUGCAUCUUUACUUUUUGCAUCUAUAUUAUAAAAUACCAAAAAUAUAUUUAUCUUAUCAUACUAUCUCUAUAAGAUCUCACUUUCGCAAGUGGCCGUGAAGGGAUUGACAACCCCUUUAUUGCGUUGGUUGCGAGUUCUUUGUUUGUUUGUGUAGGUGCGUGGGACUUUUGAGAAGCCUCCUACUGGAUUGAUACCUUGGUUCUCAAAAACUGAGGGAAAUACUUAUGCUACUAUUGCUACAUCACCCUUUCCUCUUCAAGGAAAACCAACGCAAGCUCAAGACAUAGCAAACGUAUCCCGUGAGGUCGUGCUGAUUCGGGCAUGCCUCCAUAUAAUUGACUUGUGGCUUGAAUGUAGCAUUUGUCCGAUUGUUCGUGGGACACUAUUCGGCAUAAUGUACGGUUAGCCCACAAUUGUAACAAGACUUGUUGCACAGACGAUUCUCUAGAAUUGGGUUGAGCACGUCAUUCUUGACUUGGGUGGUGGUCUUGUUAACAUUUUGUUGCCAAUUGGGCUUGUAUGCUACCUGAGUCGGCUGCCAGGUACGUGCCUUCUGCACUGGUUGCAUUUCCUUCCUUUGCUCAAACUUGCGCUUGUGAUCAUUGUUGGCAGGCUUAUUAUCUGAUACAAGCCUGUGUUCCCUUUCAGCACUGAAAGCCUUGUUCACCAGGGUUUGGAAGUCUGGGAAAUCGAACAUAUUGAGAGUAUACCGGAGUUGCGGGUUUAACCCACCAAGAAACAUGUCCAUCUUUCUUUCCUCAGUGGCCACGUCAUAUUGAGAGUAACGUGACAAAUGAUUGAAUUUCUGCAAAUAUUCUCCCACAGACUGACUUCCUUGGAGGAGCGCAAGAAAUUCACGCUCCUUAGUCUUCAUAAUCCCCACAGGGAUGUGAUAUUUCCGGAAUCGUUCCUUGAGUCUUGACUAAGUAAUUUCUUCAUCACCACACCACAUGGCUUUUUCAUUUUCCCACCAUAUGGCAGCAGCGCCUUCAAGAUAAUGUGUUACAAAUGGAACCCUAUCCCCUUCAUCAGUUCGAGCAACCUCAAGCUUCUUUUCCAUAGUUCUCAACCAAUCACCUGCAUCCAAGGGAUGAAUGGCCUGACUGAAACAGGGAGGCUUAGUCCUUUGAAAAUCUGUGUCAGGACCCCGACUCAAUGCCACAUCGAUCUAGCAUGUAACACCUCAUAUCACUUUGCGGCCUCACGCACGGUAUCCCCACGGGUGUCGCCUUACCCUUGCCCGGGACCGUUUGCGCCUUUUGGCACACGUAUAUGACAGUGUCGCUAGCAUCCAUUUGAUAAGGAUCCCGGGCUGACAUGGCUAGUCGUAAACCCAAAGUGGCACAAACUUACAGGGACAGGCAUCCAUGACCCAGCAUCGAACGUGUCGGUCAUCAGCGAGUGAAUCCAGGCUGUAGCACUGGGCUAACAGGACUCCGGUGAACCAGGCUGUAGCGGGCUAACAGGACUCCGGUAUUCAUCGCGUGACAUUUCCCCGAAGGGACAGACAUAGGAUCGAAGAAGGACACAUGCCGGCCAGCCUAAGUGUUCCGGAGCAGUAGCAAGCUACCAGGGCUCAGUGGAAGCACUAGGAGACAUUUCCCGGUAAGAGAGACUACUAAGGAUAAACAACUAGAUAGUCAGAUCCCACACAUAGCAAUACACAUUACACGUACGCAUAACAUGCAAGUAUGUGCUAUACAACAUGGCAUCACAGCAUAACUCAACAACUCAUAUAGAUAAAGGCUCGGAAGAGCCAUCAUAGCAUUAUUACAAACAGGGGUCACAUGACCCAACAUUCAGAGCAAUCAAGCAACAAACGGAAGCAUUACAUGUCUGAGUACAGACAUCUAUAAAUGAAAAGGGCUGAAAGCCUGACUAUCUACAACAUCCGAUCAAGAUCGUAGCUGAGGUACUAGCUACUAGUCGAAGUCCAUGAGAACACUAGUAAGACCGAAGUCUCCGCUGCAAAAACAUAAAUAAAGCAACAUGAGUACAAAGGUACUCAGCAAGACUUACAUCAGAUCCUAUCAUACAUGCAUUUGUAUCAAGAGAGUAAUGUGGGGUUUAGUUGCAGCAAGCCAGCUUUGACUCUGUGGCUAUCCUGUUCUACGACUACCAUAAACUCUUGAGGUGAUAUGGCGCACACGAGUCCACUAAUCACCACACAAUACACUACUAUGGAUUCAUCCCCGUCUCCCUACGAGAAGGCCAUCCAUAGCACUCACACUUGUCUUGAGCAUUUUAUAGUAUCCACUUCAAGUUGUCUAUGUACCAUGUAAGCAUCCAAGAAGUCCAUAACCGCGGACCCGGCUAUUCGAAUAGAUCAUGUUAACCCUGCAGGGGUGUACUUCUUCACACACGCUCUCGCCACUUGCCGCCAUGUACACGUCAUGUAUCUCGGCAACCUUUAAGCGGAAGCCUGGCGAGGGUGUCGGCCAUGACCUGACUAACCACACAAGACUCUAGUCCAGGUUUAUCGCCUAUUCGGGUUCCAUCCGCAAGGAGAUCCGGCCGGGGUGUCGCUCACGGCCCCAAACGAUGUGUGCAGGGUUCCCGAGCCCACCAUCGGGGUGCCACUCGGUACACCAGGCCACGUGUGCCUAGUCUGUCCCAAGCCCACCCUGCCGGGUGCCACUUGGUAGAAAAAUAGCACUACCUACAAACACCAGAAACUAGUUACAACUCCUGGACAGAGACCAAGUUGGUUAAUAAGUCGAGAGGGGUCGAGUUACCGGAACCCAAUGUGUGGUAGUAUCGAGUCAUUGGACAACAUACAUAGAACUCAGUGCUUAAGGACGGUUCCAGUGAGACAACCCACCAUGUACUCCUACAUGGCCUCUCACCGCUACCUUUACCAAAUCGUGUUCACACACUUCACUCUCAGCAUCAGAAAAUAUCGUAACACUCCAAUUCAUUCCCAAUGAACCAGACCUGACACAACUCUAAGCAAUAGCAGGCAUAGCAUGGUAGGAACACAACAUGGCUCAAUCAACUCCUACACAUGCUAGUGGGUUUCAACUAUUUACUGUGGCAAUGACAGGUCAUGCGGAGGAAUGGGUUCAACUACCGCAGCACAAAGUAGCAGAUGAAUCGCUGUUGUCCUAAUGCAAUAACUGAGAGCAGGAGCGAGAGAGUAGGGUUUUAUCGAAAUGAACAAGGGGGUUUGCUUGCCUGGUAAAUCAACAAGGGAGGCACUGCUUCAUAGACAGGUACUCUGGAACGUCUCCGGAGCAGGACCUAUCGAGAAGGAACGGUGCCAGAAAUGAAUACACAAACAUAUGCAACAAUAUGAUGCAUGAACAUGGCAUGAAGAUGUGAUGUUGUUUGAGCUAAUGCAACUAGUAAUCAUUUGGUUUGAAGUCCAUUUGAACCAUAAGCUCAAAUGCAUCUUCAAAGUAGGCUCUUAUAUAUGCCAUAAUGUGUUUUCCCAUAUUCAGCAUGUAUAAGUUGGUUUGUCAUGCAUGAAACUAGUACAGAUGGAUAGAUUACAUUUUUCUGAUAAUUUUUCAUAUAUAAAUUAUUUCAAUCUGAGCUACGGUUGAAUUGAUAUGAAUUUUUGAAGUUUAAAUCAAUUUCUGGAAUUUCCUGAAUUAUUUUAAUUCCAGAAAAUCAUUAUUGCGUCAGCAUUGAGUAAGCAUGAUGUCAGCAGGUCAAGUUCGGCUGGCUAGGGUCAAACCUGAUGUGUGGGGUCCACACGUCAGUGACAGGGGUUAAACAGGGUUAGAUUAACUUAAUUAAAAGAUUAGGGGGGCACCGGGGCCCACAUGUCAGCCUCAGGGGGGUUAAUUAAGCGGUGAUUAGCACUAAGCUAAUCACCUGACAGCCGGGCCCACAUGGCGGGGCUCAGGCGACGGGGCUCGCCGCCGGCGACCUCUGGACGCGGCGGAGUCCGCGCCACAGGCCAUGGGGACGGCGUCUGAGAGCACCGGGGCGUAGCCCGGGCUCUCGCGCAUCUGGUGGGGCAGGUGGGAGGAGCUGGGGAGGCCGGGGCUCGCCGGAGCAAAGAUCGCGGCGGCGGCCGGAGCUCGGCGGCUUGCGGCCGCGGCGUUGUGGUGUACGGCAGUGGAAGCGGAGGGCUCCUACGGCCUCCUGGCGUCACCAGGAGCACGGUGACGCGCGCGGGAGUGGCUGGCUUGGGCUCAUGCCACCGUGGCGCCAUGGCCGGCGGCGAGGAACUUGCGGGCGCGGUGGUUGAGCUAGCUAGACGGGGCAAACGAGCACGGGGAGGAGGGGGUUCGGUGCGGGGGCUCACAGCGAGACCAGCGAGCGCGAGGGCGAGGUCGGGGAUGCCCGGUAGCUCCCGAAUCGACGGCGAGGAUCCACGGCGGCCGGAGGCAAAGUUGGCGACGGCGAUGGCUCCACGGGGUGCUCCGUCUUGCAUGGCUCGACGAGGAGGUAGAGGGGGUCGCGGCGGAUCUAGGGAGCGUGUCGGGGAGGCGAGGGGAGGCCGGUGGCCGCGGCAACGGCGAGCGGCGGCGGUGAUGGCGCUCGGGUGUGCGAGGGAGAGAGCAGGGGGGAGAGGAGGAGGGCGAGGGAGAGUGCGAGAGAGGUCGGGGUGGCUGCGUGGCGUCUCCCGAGCGUCCAGACGAGUAGGGGACAGGCAGGCAGGCAGGGAGGCUGGUGGCGUGGCGCGGCGGAGCGCGCGCGCGUCGGGCACGCAGCUGCUUGGCGAGGUGGAGAAGACGACAGAGGAGGAGGCGGGCUGGGCCGCCUACUGGCUGCUGGGCCGGCCAGGCCGCACAGGGAGGAGGCCCAGGUAAGUUUCUCCUCUUUUUCUGUUUUCUAGUUUUUCUGACAUUUGUUUUGAUUUAAUAAAAUACUAAAUCAAUUUAUUACCUUAUGCCAAUUUUUGCAGGAGCUAGAUAUAUUAUUCCAGAGCUCCCCAACAGGUGGCAUAAUUUUUGGACAUAUAUUAAUAUAUAUAACUAAUAUAUUUCCAAUGCAAAUAUUUAUCGGAUUAAUCCAAAUGGCCAAAAUAAAUAUCCAUGAGCUCCUAAAAAUAUUGGUUUGAUUUUUUAUCUCUGUCCACUAUUUUUAGAGAGCAACAUGAGCAUUUUCUUGGACCCUUUUGGAGAAAUUUUUAUUUGGGUCAUUUUCAAAAUGAUUCUGAGGGUUCCACCAAUCCUCAUUUCAAAUUUAAAUGAAAUUUUAAACAUGAUGCACAAAUGACUAGCUAGUCUAGGUCAUACCAGACUAGGGAUGUGACAAUCUGAUAGCUUGGAGUGAUGACCGGGCUGAUAUCCAUUCUGUCCAACCACAGCUUGAAUACUUCUUAGUAUUUCCAUCAUAUCAUUAUUUCGUAUUUCCUCAAACAUACGCAGAAUUUGCUCGGUGGAGGGUGGAUUUGGCGGUGGAGGCGAUGGUGGAAUGUACGGCUCGGGUGAGUGUCCUGCCUGUCGUGCGGAACGACGAACAGGAGAUCCCUCGCGAACGUUGCUACUGCAGCCUCCCCGCAUCAUCCUAAUAUGAUUUUUCCCAAGGCAACGCAACCGAGAUGAGAAGCAUUCAAAAUAAACUGGGGAGAAGCCGGCAACAAAAGUCCGAGAAAAACCGAAAUGGCAAAGAAUAUACGGUGAAGGAAAUAAAGUUCCAAAAUAAUUAUACAUAGACUCAUACAUAAAAGAUAACAAUAUGCCAGGUCCAACUACACUCAUACAUGAAACGAAACAUCAUGACUCGUACGACUAAAUCCAUACUCCAUCCUGACAACUGCGAAUACUUGGUCACUCUACUGCUCUGCUGGUGCUGCGGGGUCCUCUCCUGAAGCGGACUCGGAUCCUGAACUGACGGCGUUAACUGAGACCUCCGGGUUAAAGGUGACACGACGACGCUGCCUCGAGGGCUCUCCCUCCGAGGAAGGUGGAGGGUGGAUCAUCGGGGCUACAGGAGUCGCGAGAAGUGGAACCCACUCAGCAGGAGCACAAAGGGGACUCACUAUCGCAGUGCCCGAGCUACUUGGAGGAGUAACCGGGGAAACAGGGGAUCUAGAACUAGCAGGAAUAUAGGGGGUAAAUCCUACAUAUGUUGGAGUAGUGGCUGAGCUAGCAGAGACUCAAGUAGAGGCUAAAGCAGUACGGGCACGACUCAGCUCGCGAGCCAGCUUGUAGAUCAGAAGAUAGCUAGUAGUGAUAUAGCAAGAAAGGUGGCUAGCUACACUAUCAGACUCAGGGUCAAUGUCAGGGAAACGGACACAACCAUUAUCGUGGAGAGAAGGAUAGUAGUGGAAACCUGGGUGGUUCUGCAUCCGGACCUCGUUGUAGCGGAGCUCAACGAGUACCUUGAAUGCAGCAAACUGGACAGCCUGAGAAGCGGUAGAAGCGUAGCCGCUUCGAGAGGUACGAGUGUAAGUGCUGGAAUCGGAACUGGUGCACAGAGUAACCACGGCGUGAUACUCAUACAAUGAUUUAGCUAGACGCUCCCGGUACAUACGAUAGACUGGAUCAUCACCGUGGGGGUACAGCCGAUGCCACACGUUACGAAGGAGAUGCGGCGGUGUGUACGGCAUCAGCUGCAACUGGCACGGAUACAGCACCGGAGCCAUCUACACAGCAUAAACAUAAAUUCAGUGUAUGCAAUGCAACAACCAGCUACAAAAUGCUACCAGCCCUCAACUACAACUCGUAUCUAACGUCCAGUUAACUCGGCGUAGUCUAGCAUGGUCUAAAUUCAGCGCGGCUUUGAUACCAAGCGUUGUGGAACCCCGGCUCAGAGCGACCGGUUUACCCUGCAUUGCCAGCCUAGAGACGUUGUCUUCUGGCAACACAAAACAACUUGAUACAGAAAAACAACCGCUUUAUUUAUGCUAGCGGAGCAUAGUUCAUAUUACAAUAGUUAGCGAGGCCAAGCGGCACACACGGUGCGGCUGAACAAUAUGUACAUUACUUAGUGAACAUAAAGGGGACUCGAUCAUGACAACUACGCGGCAGCGGAACAACGUCAUAGCGGGACUCCAUAGCACAGGGACACCAAUGUGGACACGAUCUAGACUCGGAUAGCUCUCCUUUCCAACGAGACUUUCCUGAAAUCUGGCAUGACACGCAAGGUCAGUACAUUGAAUGUACUUGCAAGCUCACAACAAGCAUAAACAUAAUGACAAACAAUAUCAUGAUAUUUAACCAAUUAAUAACAAUGCAGCAAUAUAUCCAACAUGUUGUGAUUAUCCUCAAGUGGUACUCGUCCCAUGGACUGGCCUACUGAACGUGAUCAUUUCUAGACCACAAACGUGAAGAACUCAGAGACAAUCUCAUGAUCCUUACGGCGAUCACAACCAUGACCAACACUUGGUCUCAAACCGUGAUCCUUAUGGCAAUCACAACCCGACCACACCUGGUCCAACUCAACGCGAUGGCCUUACUGCCAUCACCUCAGUGCAAUCUUAGUGUGCAAAUUUAUUAAGUGUUGACCCAUGGUGUACCCUACUUUCGAGCCUGUCUGUAACCAUGGACUCGGCUAUCGAUAUUUUAGUACACUCUGCAAAGGUAACGCACUGGACCCACACUACGGGCAUUCCGACGAAACCACUUCAUUUUCAUGACACUCUCCCGGCCACUCCGACUUAAUCCCCAUCGAGCUAGUCCUAGGUGGCCCCAUGUCUACCUCAAGACACCUCAACCACCGUCGUGGCCAUGAUCCACUCUGGGAUCCGGUACCAAAAACUUAACUCAUCAACGGGCUCACAAGGUUAUGCCUGCUUACCGGGCCAGGGUACAGCACGCCCAUAACCUUCCCUAGAUGGAGGCACCGACCAGAGGCACGAGAAUGAAAUUCAUUAAGGCCGUCCCAUACCGGCAAAUGUGGUUGCACUGGGAAAAACUUGUUUCAGCGGCACCAUGACCCGGUCAACAACAUAUUCAAGUUGAGUUAUUUAUCAGGUUCAACUUAAAGUGAAAUUAAUCGUUGUCAUAAGGUCAUGCCAUGCAUCCCCAACAUAUCCAUCACAUAUCCAUGGAAAUAACUAAGUCAACUAUGCUCCCACGGAGCUAUAAUCAACUCAUGAUACUUAUCUGGUUAAGAUCCAACCUCACUUAAACCAGAAUCAUUUCUAGCAAUCUCAUCAUUUUUCAUCAUGCAAGAAUAAUAAUUUAACUGAUUAUUUAUCUCCAUGAUCAUAUCAUUUUAUCAUUACUAAAUUCUUGUUAGCUCAUCAACAAGAUUCACUUCAAACUUUCUAUAAAUCAGGCAUAUUUGACAUGACAAGCACCUAACAGAAUAUAAUUAUCAUAAUAAUAAAUUAAAUGCAUGAAUAAUCAUAAGUUCAAGUAGGAAAAUAACAAGUAUUGAAGUGGUACUAUGAAAAUGUUGUUGUGGCUUGCCUUAGUGCAGAUGAGGUUCAUAAACCUCCUGGUGAUCCUCAAGACAUGCCUGCUCUUCUGAAAAUAUAUAAAACCACAAAAAGAAAACAUCAAGAAACCUUCUGAAAAUUACCAAAAAAAUCUAGACAGCAAGGAAAAAUCCCAUCUUUUGGGUGCUGCUAGAUUUUUGGACAAAGAACAUAAUGCAAAAAGAAUCAAUGCAUUUGGACUUAUAGAUAAAAGUUAUGGCUGUUUGAAGUUUCCUGGAUUUAAAUGAAUUUGAAUAAAAAAUAAAACAGACUGGGGGUGAGGUCAAAGGCGUAAAAGCACAGGGCUCCACCACUCAUACCGCUUCGCGUGCGUACUGAGUGGCUGACUAGCGGGCCCCGCUAGUCAGGUCACAAGGAGGGGGAGAGGGAAACAGAGAGUGGCGGAGCUUUGCCGGUGCGCACACCGGCGGCGAGGGAUCUUGGGGCCAAACGAGAGGGGUGGAUCGAAGGAGAAGAAGAUGGCGCACCUGCCCGUACACGUAGCGUGGCUAGAGGUGACCGGAUGGCGUUGGAAACGGCCUCUCUAGCGGAGGCAGAGGACAGCGGUUGCCGGAGACAAAGAUGACGGUGGCUCGGGGCGGCUCCGGGGGCUCCAAUAGGGCGGAAUGGCUUCACCGAAGAGUGGCGGAGGCCCUGGCAGGGUCGCCCUGGCCUGGGAGGGGUUGGAGCUGCAGGUACGAUCCGAAGGGGAUCACCGGGGAGCUCGAGCUCGGGGACGACAGCCCGCAGCCUGCCCGGCCGGGCUGCGGCUUCUACUAGCUUAUGGUGGGUGUGGGAGUAGCUGCGGGUGCUCGAGGAGGCUGGGGGUGGCGGCAUUUAUAUUCAAGCGGCGAGAGGGGUUCGGGCUCCGCCGGAGGACACCUGUCCACGGCGCCCGGCGACGAACGGCACCAGUGAGAGACGGGGAAGAGGACGGAGAUCAUGCGAGAACUAUUGGUGGGCGCGGACGAGCACAGGGGCAAGGGGGAAGACGACGAGCACAGUGCGCCGCGCACCGUGUCAUUGGCCGGACCGUGCCCGUGCCUGCUGCAGCGAGCUCCGGCGUCGGCAAGUGCUAGGGGGAGUUAAGGGAGUGGAGACAGGGAUGGUGGUGAGGUUUGGCAUGCUCGGGCAGGCUGGGCAGCGAGCACGCGCUCAACAGAGUGCUGGGCGGCAUGCAGAGCGCGUGUUUUGCAUGCCAACACGCCCGGACGAACGCGGUCACCGCGUGAACUAUGACAUCAGGCCAGGAUAAGUGCUAACUUCAUGUCUAGCGUGUAGUCCUUGGUAGUUUGGAGUGUUACCAUGGUUGGGUUUGGUUCCAGGUGCAUUAGAAAUGAAUUUGUACUGCAAGCAAGUUUCUGGAUAGUAACUUUGGAGGUUUACUGUGGUCAAACCACUAGGAGUUAGGGGCUGAGCUUUGGAGGCUAGCUAACACUCACUAAGGUAAAGAGACACAAGAAAAAACAGCUACAAUAGAGCUAGUAAAAUGGUAGUUGCUGUAGAAACCACCAUUUCUGUCCAGAAAUGAAAUUAUUUUCUGUAGCCAAAAUAUUCCAAAGAGUGAUGAAAUAUUUUUUCUCAGAAAGUGCCCUAGGGUUCAAAGAAUAAUUGGGAUUUUUCUCAGGAUUUUAGGGGCAAGAAAAAUUAGGGUUGCUUUGGAGCACAAAGGGCUAGCUAUGGUUUUAGAGGGAAAAAUGAAUAUUUUUCAUUUAAGAAAAAUAUUCCAAGCAAUAUUUUGAGAUGAUCCAGAGGUGAAAUGAUGGUUUGAGGAGGAGUAGGAGCACUUGGGUGAAAGCUAAGGGGUACCCAAGUGGUUAAGUCCAAAUGAAAUGAUUCAAAAACUCCAAACUCAAAUCCAAAUCAACUGAAAACCAGGCAAAGAAAAGAGGGCAAAAACCAGGCUGCCACAUAUUCGGCUCCCCAAACAACUUCCGAAGUGAAGAACUAAUCUUUGACAUUGUCCCUUUCCACAGUGGUUAUGACGCACUGCUUGGACGAACUGCUUUCGCCUGCUUUAAUGCAGUCCUGCACUAUGCUUAUUCGAAGCUUAAGAUGCCUGGACCUCGCGGCGUUAUUACAGUCAAUGGAAAUAUGGAGCGCUCCCUUCAUACUGAAGAACACACCGUGGCCCUCGCAACUGAGGUGUAUGGCAGCCUUAUCAAGCUGAAUAAUUCGUCAGAUAUUAAAGCCAACAACAUCUCUAAACGAGUCUGGUCCGCGCAUCAUUGCGGUAACUUGACGGAUCCGGACCUCAAUUAGUAGUUCGGCCUCCGCCGACUGCCCCAUAAGGUUGCGGCUUACAUACCGCGUGUGCACAAUUACGCACUCAAAAUACCUUGGGCAGCACCGGAGGUACCCUACAGAAAAAUUCCAUAGUACGGCUUGAGCCUAUUUGGAUAUCAUACAUUUUUUCAUUACAGAGCCCUAUCGGCUGUCUGGUUGCAUCAGGGAUCCUUUCAAGGUUUGCUUUUCCCUCCUUUAUGGACAACCAUCAAAUACUCCUACCAAAGGAUUUGCUAUUAAGGAGAAAUGGCGCAGACAUGUGGUAGGGCAUCAUUGGAGUCUUCGAACCAUUACUUUUACGCCAUGUGCUAGACUUUCCUUUUGUAAUUUUUUUAGGCAUGUAACAUGACCUUAUUAUUAAUGGCAUUGUCUGUUGAAACACGCCUCGAUGUAUUGAUAAGGAUAUAAAGUAAGAAGAUGAUCAAUGCCUUUUUGUUGGGUUCUUGUAUUAUCUCGUCAUCUGUAUUCCCUCCUUGUUUUGAUUGACAUACGCGCGUUGGCACGGCCUUGAUACCAGGGGCUGUAUUCGGCCCCACAAAUUCUUAAAGUCUGAACACCUAUAGGGAACUCUUUGGCAUCCCGGAUAUUGCACUAUAUGCACCGGCUCUAAAUCAUGUCUUUGGUCUAUAGUUGGGUUGCUCGGCUCCUAUGUUUUCCACCUUACGUUCCGCAAGUUCAGCUAAGGUAGUAAAGGGAGAACUACUAUGACUGUAUUUCUAGUUUGUCUAGUUAAGUACCUCAGUAGAGAAAUCCGAAAACUGACUGUCGUGAUAUGCGCGAGCAGGUCAGCGAUCCGGUGACUCAGUGUUAUACUACAAAUCGUUCGUGAUUUAUGCCGUGUUAUACAAGGGGCUGGGCUUCGACCAGCCAUGUUGCAAAGGCACCGUACUCCGGAUCGCUGUUAACGCAACAGGGCUAGUACUUAGCCCCACCAAUGGACUCUUAUGGCUAAGUGAAAGUAAUAAAGCCGCAUAGUCCGAUUACCUAGUUCACCUUGCAAGAUGCCUCCUAUAUAGAACCAAUAUGUUGGAUAAAGUGUAGACAUGCGUUCCCGGACACCCUUGUAAUAUUUACAUGGGGGCAGAAGCCGAUGACUGGUAAACUUUCAGACUUAUAAAAUAAAUGGCCAAACAGGAGCAUAAACUAACAAAAUCAUAAAGCGCAAGCAUAAAUAUUUAACAUUAUGAGUUCAUUAUGUCGUUCUUACAAAAUGGACUCCACUACACAAAUAUGAUACCCUUUGAGCACUGACCCUCUAUAAUGCGGGCUCCCUUGAGGACCUCGCUGAAGUACCUCUCCGGCCUCUGGUGAUCCUUGCCUUCAUGCGGCCCUGCGGUGGUAAUCUCGGUGGCCUUCAUCUUCGCCCAUUGCACUUUGACUUGGGAAAAGGCGAUCCGGGCACCUUCUAUGCAGGCCGUCUUCUUGAUGGCGUCGAUCCUAGGACUUGCAUCAACUAGCCGCUUCAUGAGUCCAAAGUAGCUAUUGGGUAUGGGCUCAGCUCGCCAAAGACGCACUAUUACAUCUUUCAUGGCCAGUCCGGCCACCCUAUGCAGCUCGGUCAACUGCUUCAACUGAUUGCUGAGGGGCGCCGGAUGCUCUGGUGCAAGGUCUGCGACCAGAAUAGCUUCUUCGUCGAGCUCCCCUCUUCGGCUCGGAAGAACUCUACAGCAUCAAUAACACUCCUCGGCAGAUCCGCAAACGUGCCUGGAGAACUCCAAACUCGGGUCAACAAGAUGUAUCUCUUACUUGUAAAUUUGCUCUACAGAAGAAAGGCCUUACCAGCCGCUAUCUACCUCACCUCCUAGAUCUCCUGGCGAGCGCCCUGGGCUUCAACCCAGGCCUCCUUCACACUCUCAAGAGCUUUAGUGAGUUCAGAGGCUUGCUCCGGACUCUUUUGCUCCAAGGACUCGCACUUGGUAAUGGCGUCCUUGAGCUCAUGUUCUACCUCGCCCACCCACGCCUCGUGUUGUUGGCGUGUCAGGACCCCGACUCGAUGCCACAUAGGUCUAGCAUGUAACACAUCAUAUCACUUUGCGGCCUCACGCACGGUAUUCCCACGGGUGCCACCUUACCUGGCCCGGGACCGUUUGCGCCUUUUGUCUCACGUAUAUGAUAGAGUCGCUAGCACCCAUAUGAUAAGGAGCCCGGGCUGACAUGGCUAGUCGUAAACCCAAAGUGGCAUAGACUUACAGGGACAGGCAUCCAUGACCCAGCAUCGAACGUGUCGGUCAUCAGCGAGUGAAUCCAGGCUGUAGCACUGGGCUAACAGGACUCCGGUAUUCAUCGCGUGACAUUUCCCCGAAGGGACAGACACAGGAACGAAGAAGGACACAUGCCGGCCAGCCUAAGUGUUCCGGAGCAGUAGCAAGCUACCAUGGCUCAGUGGAAACACUAGGAGACAUUUCCCGGUAAGAGAGGCUACUAAAGAUAAACAACUAGAUGGUCAGAUCCCACACAUACCAAGCAUUUCAAUAACAUACACACAAUAUGCUCGAUAUGUGCAAAUACAACAUGGCAUCACAACAUGACUCUACGACUCAAGUAAUUUAUUCAUUAGGCUCCGAGGAGCGAGAUAUUACAAACAUGGGUCUCAUGACCCAACACUCAGAGCAUACAAAUCGAAGCACAAGCGGAAGCUAUCAUGUCUGAGUACAGACAUCUAUAAAUGAAAAAGGCUGAGAAGCCUGACUGUCUAUCAGAUCCUACCGAGGGCACAAGAUCGUAGCUGAGGUAACAAGCUAAACGUCGAAGUCCACGUGGAACUACUAGCGAGACCGAAGUCUCUCUGCAAAACAUAAAAUAGGCAAACGUGAGUACAAAUGUACCCAGCAAGACUUACAUCAGAACUAACUACAUAUGCAUCAUUAUCAACAAGGGGAUGGUGGGGUUUAACUGCAGCAAGCCAGCUUUGACUCGGUGGCUAUCCUGAACUACGACUGCAAUGUAACUCUUUUGAGGUGGCGCACGCGAGUCCACAUAUUCCCCAUAUCAAUACACCACUAUGGAUCCGCUCCCGUCUCCCUACGAGAACGCCAUCCAUAGCACUCACGCUUAUCUUGCGUAUUUUAGAGUAUCCACUUUCACUUGUCUAUGAACUGAUACAAGCAACCCAGAAGUCCUUUUCCGCGGACACGGCUAUUCGAAUAGAUCAUAUUAACCCUGCAGGGGUGUACUUCUUCACACACGCUCUCACCACUUACCGCCAUUUACACGACAUGUACUCGGCAACCUUCAAGCGGAAGCCCAACGUGGGUGUCGGCCAUGGCCUACCUAAACACUCAAGUCUCUAGUCUAGGUUUAUCGCCUAUUCGGGUUCCAUCCAUGAGGAGAUCCGGCCGGAGUUUCGCUCACAGCCCCAAACGAUGUGAACAGGGUUCCGUGACACCAAACGGGCGCCCGGUUUACCCGGCCACGUGCCUACCGCAUCACAGCCCACCCCUACGGUCAGCGCUGCCCACGGCCUCCAGCAUACUACAAACACUAGAAACUACUUGCAACUCCUGGACAGAGGACAAGGGUGAUUAAGAAGCCGAGAGGGUCCAUUGGUUUCGGGCCCAAUGCGUGGUAGUAGCUGAAUCAUGGAUCACAAACACAGAACUCAGUUCCUGAGGACGGCUGCAAUGAGACAACCCACCAUGUACUCCUACAUGGCCUCUCACCGCUACCUUUACCAAAUCGUAUUCACACAUUUAGCUCACACACAGUAGGACAUGUUCACGCACCUCUGAUUCAUCCCCGAUGAAUCAGACCUGACUCAACUCUAAGCAGUAGCAGGCAGGACAAACAAGCAUGAAUGAGUAGGCACAACAGGGCUCAAACAAUUCCUACUCAUGCUAGUGGGUUUCAUCUAUUUACUGUGGCAAUGACAGGUCAUGCAAAGGAUAAAGGGGUUCAGCUACCGCAGCAAGUAACAGAUGAAUCGAUGUUGUCCUAAUGCAGUAAAAGAGAGUAGGAGCGAGAGAGUGGGAUUUUAUCGGAAUGAACAAGGGGGUUUUGCUUGCCUGGCACUUCUGAAGAUAACAUUGAGUCUUCAUCAGUGUCAACGAUCACAACGUCGGAACAUUGUCUACCGGGAGGGAACAGAUACCGACAACAAAGAGGAACACAAUCAAUGCAAUGCACAAAAUUAUGCAUGCUAUGACAUGGCAAUAUGAAUGUGUUUUGAGCUAAUGCAACUAGCAACAGAUUAAAUGAAGUUGGUUUGAAUACAAGAUUCAAAUUCAAACUCCAUAUGUGAUUAUUCAAAUGCCAUUUAAUUGAUUUGUGCUAUACAGCAGCUAUAAGUUGUUCUAACAUGCAUAAAAAUGGUACAGAUGGAUUCCUUGAAUUUUUCUGAUAAUUUUUCAUACAUAAAUUAUUUAAUUUGGAGUUACGGUUGAAUUUCUAUGAAUUUUAGAAGUUUUAGGCAUUUACUGGAAUUUCUAAAAUAAUAACAAAUCCAGAAAUGAUUUAUGGCGUCAGCACCACGUCACGGUGACGUCAGCAGGGUCAACUGGGCGCUCCAGGUCAAACCUGACGUGUGAGGGCCACACGUCAGUGACACAGGAACUAAUUAGGGUUUAGUUAAUUCUUAACUAACGUAAUUAGAAGGGCUGGGGCCCACAGUCAGCGGGUCAGUGGGUUAGCUAAAAUUUAAUUAGUACCUAAACCAAAUUAGCAGGGCCUCGGGCCCACAUGGCAGUGAAACAGUGGCUAAAUAAAUUAAAAUAAACUAAACUAAUUAACAGGGGGCUGGCCCCACCUGUCAUCGACCCAGGGGGAGGUCAAACCCCUGGUCAACAGGGCCUAACCCGUCGGCGGCUUGACGCCGGCGAGGCCGAGGCGGCGGAGGCCUUCGGGUUUCUUGCUCCGGCGACCAAACGCCGCGCGGAGAGGCUCUGUGGGUUCCUAGCGCUCGUGCGCAUCCGGAGGAGGCGACGGAAGGACGCGGGGUGGUCAGCACUCGCCGGAGCGGAGCUUGCGGCGGCGGCCGGAGUUCGGUGGUUGCGGCUGAGAGGGCUAGAGCUCGCGGGCGAGGGAGCUGAGCAGCGCAGCGGCAUCUACACAGCACAUGGAAGAAGUCUGCGAUCUCGGUUUGGUCGUCGGGGCUUGCUAGCGCUGGCAGUGAUGAGCGCGGCGGCGAGAAUCUCUCGGCCAUGGCGGGGCUACAGCGUAGAGAGUGGGCGCGACCAGGGGAGAAGGGGGAGACGAUGCGGGUGCUCACAGCGCGUCCGAUGGCGUCGUCGGCAAGGUCGGGGGCGGUCGGGUUGCUGCGAAUCGACGACGAUGGCUGUCGGUGCAGAGGACGAAGACAACAACGAUGACGGCGCUGCGGGGCGCUCCGGCGUCGUUUGUCUCAGCGAAGAUGAAGAGCAGGUCAUGGCGGAGCUCCUGGACCGCUCGAGAGGACGAGGGGGAGGCGAUAGCCGCGGUGGUGCUCGUCGGUGGCGUCGGCGCGGUCCGGUGAGGUGGGGAACAGCGAGGGAGAGAGAGCCAGGGAAGGGGGAAAGAGCUCCAGGGGAAGAGAGGAAGGGCUGGACGGCUCCGGGCGGCUGCGUGGCGUCUUCAGAGGAGUCGGGGCACAGGCAGGCAGCCUGGAGGUGGCGCGGCGAGCGUCAGGCACGCAGCUACUUCGGUGCGAGGGGAGGAAGACGACAGGGGGGGUAGCGGUGGCGGGCUGGGCCGUGCUGCUGGCCAGGUGGGCUACCAGGUGAGCGCCAGGUAAGGUUUCUCUCCCUCUCUCUGUUUUUCCUAUUUCUGUUCUGUUUUAUAUAUUUAAUUCUUUUGCCACUGUUUCUAAAUAAAACAAAUUCAAGACAGUGACAAAAUUCCCCGGAACAUUUUAUUUAGCACAAUGGAAUUAUACCAAAGCACAUAAAAAUGUUUCAGUUAUUUGAACAUAUAUUCAGUAAUAUUUGGAUAUAAGUUCAAAUUCAAAAUAGUAUUGAUUUAAAUUCAAAGUCCCAAAAAUAAUUCCUUAAAAAUGUUCAUUAUUUUUGGUUUGGGGUAAAACCCUGGCCAAAAUAUAACCAACAUUAGUUAAGGCCAUUUUGGAAUCAUUGAAUGCAUUUUCCAGGGUUCUUUUGCCCUGCUUUUAAUUAAAGUUUUGAGGCUUCAACAAUCCUCAAUUCAUGUUUCAGAAAUUUAAAUAUGAUGCCUGGAUGAAGAUGCAACUAUUUACAAACAAUAUUCUAGGGCUGUGACAAUUCACCCCCACUAAACAAAAAUCUCGUCCCGAGAUUCAAGCGUAGGGUAAGGUGAAGGGGGAACGCAAACUAGCACAAUCUUCACGAUCCAGGUUGCACUUCAAUUGAACGUUGAUUCGUUCACCAUCAUCGUCUCGACGUCUUGUUCUGAGAACUCCAGCCAACAGGACAACGAGAGGAGAAGGAGACUCUAGAAGGAUCGAUCUUCUAGAAGACCAAACAACUCAGGAUUAACCCACGGAAUGAAACAUAGCAACAUCUCUCAAGCUGAGAGACGAAGCACACAUCCAUAGGAAUGGAGUGAAACAGAUGACGAAGGUUCACUAGGUAGACAACGAUUCCACACCUAAGAAGGUGGUGAACGGUUGUCAACGUAGCGAGGAGUUGAGUUGCAAUGAUACCUCAACGAGACAUCCUGGAGGGGGGGUGAUUCGUAGAUAUAUCCCCUUAAGUGGCAAAAAGAAUUACCUUUGAUUCAGAGAUCAUUGAAACUCUUUAAACCAGCCUAGGGCAAUUCUCGAGCGAUCGUUUGGAGGGGGUCGGUAGAAUGGCAUACUCGGACUUGGAUGAUGUGGAUUACCUUGUUGAAGACAACGUAAUGGAUGAAUUUGCUUAUCACCGGAAAUGGAAGAGACCCAUGGUAGAAUGGCACAUUGGCGGUGCAAGCUGGGAACAAAAUGCAAAUGCUGGGAAUGAUUCUGGUAACUGGGGAAGAACCCAACAAUAGAGAGUGAAUUCACUGUUUGAGAAGGUCAUAGCAUUGCCAAGGGAACUGAGAGCAUCCCAAUUAGAGCCGAUGAUAACACGUAGCGCUUGUGCGUGCUCUCAAGAACUUGAGCAUUUCCACAAUCAUCAAGGUUUUAUCAACAACCGCGUCAAGGGUGCUGACAACACAACAUACUACCAUGAUGAAUAGCGAUGGACGAUGCAGAUGCGAAGGAGGAUAACACUUUCUCAGAUUUCACCUUAGCGAGGCCAAGCAAAUAAAAUCUGGAUGAUCGACCGAGAGACAUUUAGCACUCCGCUUCUAAUGUUCUCCUUGAUGUGCUAGCGUAAUCCACCCAUAGAUAUGGUUUGAUAUCUAGAACAUCGAGUAAAAAGGUCGGACUUCGGAACACAGAAAUCCAUAGGGGCAACUAGGGAGUAAUCCUACGAAAUCCCUAUGGGGAGGUGGCCAACUUCCUCAAACAAGAUACUAUAAUAAUAGGUCUACCGGAUGGGUGUGUUGGCCACGACAUCCACCUUGCCGGUUAUUGAGAGACCAAUAUUAUAAUUCUUGGGAAAUGUUCCAACCAUCACAUCUGCCUGAGAUUCAGAUCUGGUUGGUGUCAGGAUAUCCCAGACUCAUCAAGUCUAGAAAGAAAAAUGAAAGUUUGCAACACAAAUCGACGAGAUAAUGUUGCGGGAUUCUCGGGGAGUGAGCUACGAUAGUAAGCUCCAAAACAUGAGUUGGUUCUACUACAAACAUAUGAACAUGUUGUCCCAGACAAGCAUGGCCAUGUAGUAGUCUUAUAAUUAAACACUACUGAGUUCAGGUGGGGAACCAUCAUCGGGGAUAUCAGAGUCCUGUGCAUUACCAUGGAUUAACACAUAACUCCUUUUCCUGAACAAAUCAGUCAGUGGCUUGGGGUGCUACGGAACACAUAUAGAAUGGAGGUUGCAAGUCUCCGAACCACAGAAUACUUCGCACGUAUGCAUGACUGAUUGGGAUGAUUCCAGAGGAAGCAAAACUAACUUUCUCAAAUUCACGGCGGCAACUUCCACCAAAUGCACGUGUAUAAGAGGAAGUCACUCCUUUCAUCAAACAAGUACUUCAUGAGCUAUCAUGAAGAAAAGCUUUCAAAAGUUUCCAACACUAGCUUAAUGUUUAGCAAAAUUAUGGAGAAGACAAGGAUGUUGUCGAUGGGCUCAACAACAAUUCAUCCAGGUUUCCAUAUAAAAGGAAUUCCAUAGUUAAGUGAACACAGUGAUAGCAUUGAUCAGACCAAAAGAUGUAAUGGCGUAUGCUCGAGGGAUCAACCACGAAUAAGACAACAUUACGAGCAUCGUUGGUACUGAUUUGAUUUGACGAUAGCCCACACUCAAAUCAAAGGAUUGAUAAGACAAUAGGUCCAGCAACUGAUCACAAGGACCAAUCGAUGAAGAUAUCAUCUUUCUUCAGCACACCCUACACAAGAAUAUCCCUUUGGAACGAACUAAGUCAGGCAAGCUUUUAUCUUCCAACUCUCCAAGUUGUUGUCUAGCUUAACCAACUAGCUCAGGGAUAUCUAACACCGAUUCUUGGAGAGAAGGUGGUUCACAAGAACCCAACUUGAUCACGAGAUCAACAUAGCGGUCAGGCGACAACCUGGUGAUACUUCCGAGAAGAAAUUUGGAAUAUCAUGAACCACCGGUAUGUUACUAAGCUCGAAAACAAUCUUACUUUUCAGGGCAAGACGAUAUGAUCAAAUAAGCAAGGAUUGGCACUAUCCUAACUCACUGAUCGGAGAGUGCACCAGAAAUAAGGACUAGGUAGCAGAAUCAACCUUAGGGUGACGAUUCAAUAAUCAACACGCUAAGAAUGAGGUUAUCGUCCAUUUAACUACCAAGCAAUGGAGUUGCUAGCAGUAUUGAUUUCACACGCCAUGAUUCAUUUGUUGGCAUUCCGGUUACAAUAACACGGAAACCGAGAAAUUAUCAAUGAUGAUCAGAAGUAUUACUGCGUCAAGAAUUCAUAAGAUGGUGUGCAAUUCCCAUGAUAUUCCUGAUAUAAAGAUGGUAAUACUUCAAGGUAGAACAGACCAGAAGCUGGAUUGGCAUUUUGACCUGCGGAAUACAAUUGCUUUGACCCAAUUCUAGAUAUGGAUGAGAUUCUGGAGUUUGUUUCUCCUAUUCAUUCUGAAAUAGAAUGGCUUGGCGGACCACGAGGGUAAUAGGCAUCGACGAACGAAUGCACGCAUACUCUUGACUAUCAAUUGAUAGGCGAGGGUCGGAAACAACUAAGAUGGGACAACUCAAAAGAACAUAUGAUUUUCUGAGUUGUGGAUGCAUGGAUUAGCAUGUCGAACGAAGUUCAACAUAUUUCUUCCGGAUAACCCAUGCAGAAAGGUAGAACUGGCAGAGCCACAAUAUAUAAUGGAGAACUCAUCAAGAAUAAUCCUGUUGUGAUAUUUCAGUUCAACGAGGAACUUCUGCCAUAAGCGGUCCAUAGUAUUUGGAAGAAGGAAAUACCACAGACCUCGAGGACUAUCGCAAAGUUACUAAUAUCCUGAAGGAACUAGCAAACACUAUCAACAUGAAGUAGGUAGAGUGAAUCUCGAGUUCAAGAACCCAGAAAUAGAAUGCCUACUAACUAAAUGGCAUCACGGGGUGCUUUCGAUAAUGACGGCCAGAAUCACCACACUGGAAACACAGAUCAUGGCUAGACUACUAGAUGAUCCCCUAAGACACCUAGGGUCAUAAUACUAGCUCCAACAUAUAUGUCAAGGUAACGGAGUACCUCAACUCACUGAUUAGUGUGGUUAAUCUGGCCCAUGGGAACAUUGAAACGGGAAGAAAGGAUUUGCAAAUGCAUCAGACUACUUAGAAACCUGGGAUGACUCGGACAGCAUAACGGCUGUAAAUGCUCAGAAAAGAUUUGAGACAUUCACAAAAAUGGUGGCAUAACCACCCAGAACAACACUGUAUCAAGGUUUCGAGAUCAACAAUUAACAUACGAAAGUAGUAGGAACUGAACUGAGACUUAAAUCCAACAAUCUUAUAAGUCCACUGAUUAGUAACACGUGAUCCUAAUAGAAAGAAGAGAUAGCCUAGUUCUUAAUCCCCGUAGAAGAGAAGAUGAUGACUCAGAUCAGAAGGCCAUGAGGUAUAAGGAGUAAAAAGAGCCUUACGUUCCAUCCCACAAUCAAUUCCCCUACAUAUAACUAAAGAAUUUCUAGACUCAACAUCGACCAGUUUGGCUUGGUAAUCCUACAGGCAGUCAAGCUCUGAUACCAACGCUGUCAAGACCCCGACUCGAUGCCACAUAGGUCUAGCAUGUAACACAUCAUAUCACUUUGCGGCCUCACGCACGGUAUUCCCACGGGUGCCACCUUACCUGGCCCGGGACCGUUUGCGCCUUUUGGCUCACGUAUAUGAUAGAGUCGCUAGCACCCAUAUGAUAAGGAGCCCGGGCUGACAUGGCUAGUCGUAAACCCAAAGUGGCACAGACUUACAGGGACAGGCAUCCAUGACCCAGCAUCGAACGUGUCGGUCAUCAGCGAGUGAAUCCAGGCUGUAGCACUGGGCUAACAGGACUCCGGUAUUCAUCGCGUGACAUUUCCCCGAAGGGACAGACACAGGAACGAAGAAGGACACAUGCCGGCCAGCCUAAGUGUUCCGGAGCAGUAGCAAGCUACCAUGGCUCAGUGGAAACACUAGGAGAUAUUUCCCGGUAAGAGAGGCUACUAAAGAUAAACAACUAGAUGGUCAGAUCCCACACAUACCAAGCAUUUCAAUAACAUACACACAAUAUGCUCGAUAUGUGCAAAUACAACAUGGCAUCACAACAUGACUCUACGACUCAAGUAAUUUAUUCAUUAGGCUCCGAGGAGCGAGAUAUUACAAACAUGGGUCUCAUGACCCAACACUCAGAGCAUACAAAUCGAAGCACAAGCGGAAGCUAUCAUGUCUGAGUACAGACAUCUAUAAAUGAAAAAGGCUGAGAAGCCUGACUGUCUAUCAGAUCCUGCUGAGGGUACAAGAUCGUAGCUGAGGUAACAAGCUAAACGUCGAAGUCCACGUGGAACUACUAGUGAGACCGAAGUCUCUCUGCAAAACAUAAAAUAGGCAAACGUGAGUACAAAUGUACCCAGCAAGACUUACAUCAGAACUAACUACAUAUGCAUCAUUAUCAACAAGGGGAUGGUGGGGUUUAACUGCAGCAAGCCAGCUUUGACUCGGUGGCUAUCCUGAACUACGACUGCAAUGUAACUCUUUUGAGGUGGCGCACACGAGUCCACAUAUUCCCCAUAUCAAUACACCACUAUGGAUCCGCUCCCGUCUCCCUACGAGAACGCCAUCCAAAGCACUCACGCUUAUCUUGCGUAUUUUAGAGUAUCCACUUUCACUUGUCUAUGAACUAAUACAAGCAACCCAGAAGUCCUUUUCCGCGGACACGGCUAUUCGAAUAGAUCAUAUUAACCCUGCAGGGGUGUACUUCUUCACACACGCUCUCACCACUUACCGCCGUUUACACGACAUGUACUCGGCAACCUUCAAGCGGAAGCCCAACGUGGGUGUCGGCCACGGCCUACCUAAACACUCAAGUCUCUAGUCUAGGUUUAUCGCCUAUUUGGGUUCCAUCCAUGAGGAGAUCUGGCCGGAGUUUCGCUCACAGCCCCAAACGAUGUGAACAGGGUUCCGUGACACCAAACGGGCGCCCGAUUUACCCGGCCACGUGCCUACCGCAUCACAGCCCACCCCUACGGUCAGCGCUGCCCACGGCCUCCAGCAUACUACAAACACCAGAAACUACUUGCAACUCCUCCACAGAGGACAAGGGUGAUUAAGAAGCCGAGAGGGUCCAUUGGUUUCGGGCCCAAUGCGUGGUAGUAGCUGAAUCAUGGAUUACAAACACAGAACUCAGUUCCUGAGGACGGCUGCAAUGAGACAACCCACCAUGUACUCCUACAUGGCCUCUCACCGCUACCUUUACCAAAUCGUAUUCACACAUUUAGCUCACACACAGUAGGACAUGUUCACACACCUCUGAUUCAUCCCCGAUGAAUCAGACCUGACUCAACUCUAAGCAGUAGCAGGCAGGACAAACAAGCAUGAAUGAGUAGGCACAACAGGGCUCAAACAAUUCCUACUCAUGCUAGUGGGUUUCAUCUAUUUACUGUGGCAAUGACAGGUCAUGCAAAGGAUAAAGGGGUUCAGCUACCGCAGCAAGUAACAGAUGAAUCGAUGUUGUCCUAAUGCAGUAAAAGAGAGUAGGAGCGAGAGAGUGGGAUUUUAUCGGAAUGAACAAGGGGGUUUUGCUUGCCUGGCACUUCUGAAGAUAACAUUGAGUCUUCAUCAGUGUCAACGAUCACAACGUCGGAACAUCGUCUACCGGGAGGGAACAGAUACCGGCAACAAAGAAGAACACAAUCAAUGCAAUGCACAAAAUGAUGCAUGCUAUGACAUGGCAAUAUGAAUGUGUUUUGAGCUAAUGCAACUAGCAACAGAUUAAAUGAAGUUGGUUUGAAUACAAGAUUCAAAUUCAAACUCCAUAUGUGAUUAUUCAAAUGCCAUUUAAUUGAUUUGUGCUAUACAGCAGCUAUAAGUUGUUCUAACAUGCAUAAAAAUGGUACAGAUGGAUUCCUUGAAUUUUUCUGAUAAUUUUUCAUAUAUAAAUUAUUUAAUUUGGAGUUACGGUUGAAUUUCUAUGAAUUUUAGAAGUUUUAGGCAUUUUCUGGAAUUUCUAAAAUAAUAACAAAUCCAGAAAUGAUUUAUGGCGUCAGCACCACGUCACGGUGACGUCAGCAGGGUCAACUGGGCGCUCCAGGUCAAACCUGACGUGUGAGGGCCACACGUCAGGGACACAGGAACUAAUCAGGGUUUAGUUAAUUCUUAACUAACGUAAUUAGAAGGGCUGGGGCCCACAGUCAGCGGGUCAGUGGGUUAGCUAAAAUUUAAUUAGUACCUAAACCAAAUUAGCAGGGCCUCGGGCCCACAUGGCAGUGAAACAGUGGCUAAAUAAAUUAAAAUAAACUAAACUAAUUAACAGGGGGCUGGCCCCACCUGUCAUCGACCCAGGGGGAGGUCAAACCCCUGGUCAACAGGGCCUAACCCGCCGGCAGCUUGACGCCGGCGAGGCCGAGGCGGCGGAGGCCUUCGGGUUUCUUGCUCCGGCGACCAAACGCCGCGCGGAGAGGCUCUGUGGGUUCCUAGCGCUCGUGCGCAUCCGGAGGAGGCGACGGAAGGACGCGGGGUGGUUAGCACUCGCCGGAGCGGAGCUUGCGGCGGCGGCCGGAGUUCGGUGGUUGCGGCUGAGAGGGCUAGAGCUCGCGGGCUUGGGAGCUGAGCAGCGCAGCGGCAUCUACACAUCACAUGGAAGAAGUCUGCGAGCUCGGUUUGGUCGUCGGGGCUUGCUAGCGCUGGCAGUGAUGAGCGCGGCGGCGAGAAGCUCUCGGCCAUGGCGGGGCUACAGCGUUGAGAGCGGGCGCGACCAGGGGAGAAGGGGGAGACGAUGCGGGUGCUCACAGCGCGUCCGAUGGCGUCGUCGGCGAGGUCGGGGGCGGUCGGGUUGCUGCGAAUCGAUGACGACGGCUGUCGGUGCAGAGGACGAAGACAACAACGAUGACGGCGCUGCGGGGCGCUCCGGCGUCGUUUGUCUCGGCGAAGAUGAAGAGCAAGUCAUGGCGGAGCUCCUGGACCGCUCGAGAGGACGAGGGGGAGGCGAUAGCCGCGGUGGUGCUCGUCGGUGGCGUCGGCGCGGUCCGGUGAGGUGGGGAACAGCGAGGGAGAGAGAGCCAGGGAAGGGGGAAAGAGCUCCAGGGGAAGAGAGGAAGGGGUGGACGGCUCCGGGCGGCUGCGUGGCGUCUUCAGAGGAGUCGGGGCACAGGCAGGCAGCCUGGAGGUGGCGCGGCGAGCGCCAGGCACGCAGCUGCUUCGGUGCGAGGGGAGGAAGACGACAGGGGGGGUAGCGGUGGCGGGCUGGGCCGUGCUGCUGGGCCAGGUGGGCUACCAGGUGAGCGCCAGGUAAGGUUUCUCUCCCUCUCUCUGUUUUUCCUAUUUCUGUUUUGUUUUAUAUAUUUAAUUCUUUUGCCACUGUUUCUAAAUAAAACAAAUUCAAGACAGUGAUAAAAUUCCCCGGAACAUUUUAUUUAGCACAAUGGAAUUAUACCAAAGCACAUAAAAAUGUUUCAGUUAUUUGAACAUAUAUUCAGUAAUAUUUGGAUAUAAGUUCAAAUUCAAAAUAGUAUUGAUUUAAAUUCAAAGUCCCAAAAAUAAUUCCUUAAAAAUGUUCAUUAUUUUUGGUUUGGUGUAAAACCCUGGCCAAAAUAUAACCAACAUUAGUUAAGGCCAUUUUGGAAUCAUUGAAUGCAUUUUCCAGGGUUCUUUUGCCCUGCUUUUAAUUAAAGUUUUGAGGCUUCAACAAUCCUCAAUUCAUGUUUCAGAAAUUUAAAUAUGAUGCCUGGAUGAAGAUGCAACUAUUUACAAACAAUAUUCUAGGGCUGUGACAUGGCGGGCAGUUCACUCCACCUCCAACUCCUUCGCCGCUUUGUCAGCGGUCGCCCUACUCACCUCUGCCUCUUUUUUGGCUUUGGCAAGAGCGCUCUUAAGGGACUCGACCUCGGUUGCACAAACUAUGAGUAUAGUCAUAAAACUUAGUAAAUUUAAAGAAUUAGCACACACAUCACUUCGGGUAGGUAAUAGUGUUGCAUACCUUGCAUUUCGUCAAACCGCUUGUUGAUGUGGUUGAGCUCCUCAUCGGCUAGUCAAAGCUUCCGAUAGAGCUCGGAAACCUCUGCGGCUUGAGUAGUAGCCGCCAACAUGGACACCUGUCUCACAUAGCAACACAGUAUGUUAAUAACUUAAAGUGGGAUUCUCUGUCCGGAUUGUUCUAAUCCAGACAGAGUCUCAAGGGCUACUGUCCAUACAUGGGUUUGACCUUUCAUACAAAUAAUUGUUAAAGAAUUACAUCGCAUACCUCAAAGCUCGUCAGUAGGCUGUUGAAUGCAUCAUUCAGUCCGCUUUUCCCAGGCUGAACCUUCUUCAUAACCGCACCCAUCAGGGUGCGGUGCUCUUCCACAAUGGAAGCGGGUUGCAGCGCCUCCUCCAAAACAGGAGCGGCCUCCGGAUCAACAGAGGCCGCUGAUGGAGCUGCUGCUCCUCCCCCUUCUUCGAGGAGGGGUGUUGGUCCAAACCCGGAGCCACAUUGGUCUCUGGGACGGUGUUCGGUGAGGGCCCAAACUGUUGAGGCCCCCCACCCUCGAAGGUCAAGGGGGUCGCCUUGCCCCAGUCUGCAGCAUCCAAGGUAUUAACCUCAGGCGCCUUCUGUACGGCCUCGUCCGCCCCUCCUUGGCUAGGAGAGGUCCUUUGGGAUGACACCUCGGUGUCCUCCAUGGCAAGGGGAGAAGGCUCGUGAUGGUCCGUCGCUCUCCGCCUCUUUAGGCGCCUGAGAAUUCCCCGGCGAAGACGAGGGAUUCAAGAUAUCGUGCGGAGGGCUGAAAUAGAAGCAAAGAUACAAUUUAUAUAAACAAAGGUGGGUAAGCGAAAGAUGAACAAGUAAGGUUUUUGAUGCUUACAAUUCGGACAGGGGCUUAACCCUGGGGGCUCUCCUUGGGCUAUGUUCGGACUCCGAGUCCAAAUUGACCGAGAAGGUGAUCUUCUUCUUCUUCGGCGUCGCCCCCUCCGGAUUCUCGGAGGUAGUCCUCCUCUUCCUCCUCAUGAUGCGAGGGGAGUCGCUCUCCACUUCCUCCUCCUUUUCUUUGUCCUCGUCUUCCUCGUGAGAGGAGACAGCUUCGAUUUCUUCGGACACAGUGUCCAAAGGACCUCUGCGAUGGGGCCCGCCCUUGGUCUCCUUGCCCUUCUUCUCCGGCCAGCAUCUCCUCCAGCUGAGGAGUGACUAGGUCUUCGGGCAACGGAGCCGGACUCUUGAUCCGCUCCACCUUGUUUGUCCAACCCUGUAAAGAGGUGAGCUGAUAAGAUUUGUGUUGAUCGAAAAUAUAGAUCGGACAUAUCUUUGGAAAACUAACACUUACCGGAGUGGCCAGAUUCUUGGCGUCAAGAUCGACGUCUUCGAUCUCCAUGGGCUAGCUCUUCUGGGCCUUGAACAACAGCUUCCAUAUUCAUGCAUGCGUCGUGCCGAGGAAGUGCUGCAGGGUCUGCGGCUCCUCCGGAUUGAACCCCCACAUGGGGUAGGUCCGGCGUUGGCAGGGGAGGAUGCGGGGAAAGAGCAUGAUCUGCACCACAUUGGUGAGACCGGCGUUCUUGCCGAGCACGUUGGUGAUGCGCGUUUGCAGCGUCUGCACCUCCGUCUGGGACCCCCAUCGAGGCCUUUGGCGCUCCAUGAAGUGAGCCUCGUGGGGGGACCAGAUCUAAACUCCGGAAUCGCCGCCCAGUUGGUGCGGCGCAACUCGGUGAUGUAAAACCACUCUUGUUGCUAGACCUUGAUGGUCUCGACCAAGGCCCCCUUUGGCCAUGUGGCAUUGGGCAGCUUGUUUCUCAUGACCCCACCACAGUCCGCGUGCUGCCCGUCGACCACCUUCGGCUUCACAUUGAAGAUUUUUAGCCAUAGGCCGAAGUGUGGGGAGAUGCAGAGUAAAGCCUCACACACGACGAUAAAUGCUGAGAUGUGGAGGAAAGAGUUCGGGGCUAGAUCAUGGAAAUAUAGCCCGUAAUAGAACAUGAGUCCCCGGAUGAAGGGAUGGAGUGGAAAAUCUAGCCCUCUAGGGAAAUGGGGGAGGAAAACGACCCUUUCACCGGGCUCCGAGUGGGGAUGAUUUGACCUUUUGUGGGGAGCCUAUGCGUGAUGGUUGUGGCUAGGUAUCCCGAACUCCAGAGAUCCUUUAUUUCGGGCGGAGGAGGAGGAGGAGGCCUCCCACUUGCCCUUGGAACCGGAUCUGGCCAUGGUCAGAGGAGGUGGUGGUGGUCAGGAAGACAAAGACUUUCUUUCGGGCGCUAAGAGCUUGGGAGAUUGGAAGGCGUGGGGAAGAAAGGAGAAAUCCAUUGCCCUCUAAUAGGCUGUAAAAAUGCCAACCGUCCCCCCACUUAUGCCUUGAAACUCGCCUGUUCCCAACGAAAGCAUGCGCCGUAAAUGGUUGGAUUACCCAAAUUUUAUUGAUGAGCAAUCCCAUAAUAAGUGGGCACAAUCUCUAUUUUGACAAGAUGGACCAAGGGGGCUUGGCCUCGUAACACAAAACGCGAGGUGUGAAAAUAGUUCAAAAUGCUAAAGGGUCAAGUCUGACGCUUCGUCGGAAAAAGUUGAUUACGCAAAGCCGAAUAUAUCCUGCCUUCGCAGCUAAGGGUUGCGUUCAUUAUGCAAAGCCGAAUAUAGUUCUUUUAUGGUGGAAAGCUGAUGUAUAUUGUUCAGACAACCCGCGUCACAAUGCCGAAGAUAAUCUGCAUGCCGAACAUAUCGUCAUUGAAGGCUGGUUCAGGGCUACUGAGGGAGUCUUGGACUAAGGGGUCCUCGGGCGUCCGACCUAUUAGAUAUGGGCCGGAUUAAUGGGCCAUCGAGAUGCAAGGAAGAUGACCAUCACUCGUGUUACCUUAGGACUCCCGUAUGCGUGAACGGCAAGUUUAGGUGUCCGGGUAUGCUAUUUCCUUUCUGUUGAACCGACUUUGUACAACCCUAAGCCCCUCCGGUAUCUAUAUAAACUGGAGGUUUAGACCGAAGACAGGAUCAUAACAUUGAUAGGCUAGCGAAGCUAGGGUUUAGCCAUUAUGAUCCCGAGGUAGAUCAACUCUUGUAACCCCUAUACUCAUCGAAUAUAAUCAAAUAGGAGUAGGGUUUUACCUCCAUUAAGAGUGCCUGAACCUGGGUAAACAUGGUGUCCUUUUGACUAUUGUUACCAUCAAUCUGCAGACCUACAGCUUUGGCCCCCCUACCCAAGAUCUACCGGUUUUGACACCGACAACCAUACGCCCACCAUAUACCUUCCUCAAAACAGUGACCAUACCUACCUAUUAUGGCAUUUCCAUAGCCAUUCCGAGAUAUAUUGCCAUGCAACUUUCCACCAUUCCGUUUAUUAUGACACGCUUCAUCAUUGUCAUAUUGCUUUCAUGAUCAUGUAGUUGACAUUGUAUUUGUGGAAAAGCCAUCGUUCAUAAUUCUUUCAUAAAUGUCACUCUUGAGUCAUUGCACAUCCCGGUACACCGCCGGAGGCAUUCACAUAGAGUCAUAUUUUGUUGUAAGUAUUGAGUUGUAAUUCUUGAGUUGUAAGUAAAUAAAAGUGUGACGAUCUUCAUUAUUAGGGCAUUGUCCCAUGAGAGGAAAGGAUGAUGGAGACUAUGAUUCCCCCACAAGUCGGGAUGAGACUUCGGACGAAAAAUAAAAUAAAAAAGAGGCCAUAAAUAAGAGAAAGACCCAAAUAAAAAAAUGAGAGAAAAAGAGAGAAGGGGCAAUGUUACUAUCCUUUUACCACACUUGUGCUUCAAAGUAGCACCAUGAUCUUCGUGAUAGAGAGUCUCCUAUUUUGUCACUUUCAUAUGCUAGUGGGAAUAUUUCAUUAUAGAACUUGGCUUGUAUAUUCCAAUGAUGGGCUUCCUCAAAUAUCCCUAGGUCUUCAUGAUCAAGCAAGUUGGAUGCACACCCACUUAGUUUUUAUUUGAGCUUUCAUACACUUAUAGCUCUAGUGCGUCCAUUGCAUGGCAAUCCCUACUCACUCACAUUGAUAUCUAUUGAUGGGCAUCUCCAUAGCCCGUUGAUACACCUAGUUGAUGUGAUACUAUCUUCUCCUUUUGUCUUCUCCAGAACCACCAUAUUCUAUUCGACCAUAGUGUUAUAUCGAUGGCUCACGCUCAUGUAUUGCGUGAGGAUUGAAAAAGUUUGAGAACAUCAAAAGUAUGAAACAAUUGCUUGGCUCCUCAUUGGGGUUGUGCAUGGUUUAAAUAUUUUGUGUGAUGAAGAUAGAGCAUAGCCAGACCAUAUGAUUUUGUAGGGAUAGCUUUCUUUUGUCAUGUUAUUUUGAGAAGACAUGAUUGCUUUUUUAGUAUGAUUGAAGUGUUACUGUUUUUAUGUCAAUAUUAAACUUUUGUUUUGAAUCUUUCGGAUCUGAACAUCCAUGCCACAAUAAAGAAAAUUACAUUAUGUUAGGUAGCAUUCCACAUCAAAAAUUCUGUUUUUAUCAUUUACCUACUCGAGGACAAGCAGGAAUUAAGCUUGGGAUGCUUGAUGCGUCUCCAAUGUAUCCAUAAUCUUUUUUGUUAUUCCAUGCUAUUAUAUUAUCUGUUUUGGAUGUUUUAUAUGCAUUUAUAUGCUAUUUUAUAUUAUUUUUGGGACUAACCUAUUAACCGAGAGCCCGGUGCCAGUUUCUGCUUUUUUACCUGUUAUAGAGUUUCACAGAAAAGGAAUACCAAACGGAGUCAGAAUGAAACUUUUGUGAUGAUCUUUCUUGGACCAGAAGCAAACCAGAAGACUUGGCGAUGAAGUCGGAGAUGCAAAAAGGUGGCCACGAGGGUGGAGGGCUAUAUAUACUAUUAUACCCUGAAAACGUUUAGGGGAGCCACAAAACCACUUUUCCACCGCCGCAACCUUCUGUGCCAGUUUCUAAUUUUUUUUACCUAUUUUAGAGUUUCGCAGAAAAAGAAUACCAAACGGAGUCCAAACGGAAUGAAACUUUCACGAUGAUCUUUCUUGGACUAGAAGAAAACCAGAAGACUUGGAGAUAAAAUCGGAGACGUAACAAGGCAUCCAUGAGGGUGGAGGGCGCGCCAGGGGUAGCGCGUGCCCCCUGCCUCGUGGGCCUCUCGUGGGUCUCCUGACCUAGUUCCUUCGCCUAUAAAUACUCUUAUACCCUGAAAACAUCUAGGGGAGCCACAAAACAACUUUUCCACCACUGCAACCUUCUGUACCCAUGAGAUCCCAUCUAGGGGCCUUUCCAGGUGUCCUGCCAGAGGGGGAUUCGAUCACGGAGGGCUUCUACAUCAAUACCAUUACCCUUCCGAAGAAGCGUCAGUAGUUUACCUCAGACCUACGGGUGUAUAGCUAGUAGCUAGAUGGCUUCUUCUCUCUCUUUGAUUCUCAAUACCAUGUUCUCCUCGAUGUUCUUAGUGAUUUAUUCGAUGUAAUAUUGUUUUGUUGUGUGUUUGCCUAGAUUCGAUGAAUUGUGGAUUUAUGAUUAGAUUAUCUAUGAAUAUUAUUUGAGUCUUCUCUGAAUUCUUAUAUGCAUGAUUUGAUAUCUUUGCAAGUCUCUUCAAAUUAUCGGUUUAGUUUGUCCUACUAGAUUGGUUUUUCUUACAAUGGGAGAUGUGGUUAGCUUUGGGUUCAAUCUUGCGGUGUCCUUUCCCAGUGACAGUAGGAGCAGCAAGGCACAUAUUGUAUUGUUGCCAUUGAGGAUAAAAAGACGGGGUUUUCAUCAUAUUGCUUGAGUUAAUUCCUAUACAUCAUGUCAUCUUACCUAAUGCGUUACUCUGUUCUUUAUGAACUUAAUACUCUAGAUGCAUGUUGGAUAGUGGUCGAUGUGUGGAGUAAUAAUAGUAGAUGCAGAAUCGUUUUGGUCUACUUGACACAGAGGUGAUGCCUAUAUUCAUGAUCAUUGCCUUAGAUAUCGUCAUAACUAUGCACAAUUCUAUCAAUUGCUCGGCCAUAAUUUGUUCACCCACCAUAAUAUUUGCUAUCUUGAGAGAAGCCACUAGUGAAACCUAUGGCCUCGGGUCUCUUUUCCAUCAUAUAAGUUCUCUUUUCCAUCAUACUAGUUUCCGAACUACUAUUUUGCAAUCUUUUACUUUUUGAUCUAUAAACCAAAAAUACCAAAAAUAUUUACUUUAUCGUUUAUCUAUCUCUACCAUAUCUCACUUUUGCAAGUAACCGUGAAGGGAUUGACAACCCCUUUAUCGCAUUGGGUGCAAGUUGUUGAUUGUUUGUGCAAGUAUUCGGUGACUUGUGCAUUGUCUCCUACUAGAUUGAUACCUUGGUUCUCAAACUGAGGGAAAUACUCACUCUACUUUGCUGCAUCACCCUUUCCUCUUAAAGGGAGAAACCAAUGCAAGCUCAAGAGGUAGCACCCGUGAUACUCUAGAGUCUUCCUCGUGGCUAUAUAAGAGUGCCUCGAGUCCUCCUGCACCUCACCCACUCCUCCCUCACUUCACUUGUUCACCAGAAUCGCCACAUCUCGCCGGAGUUCCCCGUUCAUCCUCGGCCAUUGUCAGAGUUCGAGCUACCCCGGCCAAACAGAGCCUCCCCUCGCUUGUCGGAUAUCGGGUUCCGGCAAAACCCUUAAGGUUCGAACACUGGGAUGCGCACGAAGAUCUGUCCCUACCGAAACAUGCCCUCAACCUCGCCGCGAUUUCUGAGCUAGCUCAAUGAACAACACAAGAGACACAAGAAUUAUACAGGUUCAGGCCACCGUUGUGGUGUAAUACCCUACUCUUGUGUGUGGUGUCGUGGAUUGCCUCUUGGGCUAAUGAUGAACAGUACAAGGGAAGAACAUCCUCGCGAGGAGAGGCAUUCUUGUGUUUGGUGGUGUGCUUGAGGAGGAAUCGAUCCAUUCUCUAUGGUGGUGGCUAGCUCUAUUUAUAGAGGCCCUGGUCCUCUUUCCAAAUAUUGAGCGGGAAGGGAUCCAACAAUGGCCAUUUUGAAAGGGGACAGCUAGUACAAGCUAUCCUGACUAAAGGUGGUCUUCGCCUGCCAAAGGCACUGGUGGUGACACCGUCUUGGGCUCCACUGUGACCUCCGUCCUCCCGUCCUGCUGGUCUUGGUCUCAUUGCACCGAUAGGGAAACCUUUGCCUGAUGCCUCGGUACUCCGUGCCUGCGCUUGCCCCCUUUGCACCAAAGAGGAAACAAGGACACUGCGUGGGCUGGCGCCCUCCUGGCGCUCGCCUAGUUUUGAUCGUCAUGGCUUGCGUCAUGGGCACCUCGCGAGGUACCCCUUGCCUUGAUCUCUCCGCCUACUCGCAAGCCUGCCUAGCGAGGCCGCCCCUGAGGAGGCCUUGCCUCGCCCGCCCCGCGAGGCUUGGCCCCUCGCGAGGGUCUUGAGUGUUGGUGGAUGAAGACGGGUCAUACUGGGCCACUAGUUGAGCCACGCUACAGGCCGCAGGCAGGCAUGUCUAGGGACCCCCGUUCCUAGAACGCCGACAGUAGCCCCCGGGCCCAAGGCGCGCUUGGGCUUGCCUUAGCAGUGAAGCUAAAGGGCAAGUGCGGAGUGCCGCGGACCCCAAUAGCCUGCGGCCUUGGUCGACAUGUGGCGACUGAUUAGACGUGGGCGUCUCUGCUUCCCCACGCUGCCUAAUAUCCGCCUGGCUAGGCAGCCGUGAUGCCUUACACAGUUAUUUCCUCCUCACUGGCAGCGUGCUUUCUAUUCCCCCGUCUUCCUCAAAUCUCUACUUCCGCUCCCAAUCUGACUUGAGCUCCGCUCCCACACCAUCGCCAUGGCACCAGCUAGCAAGGAGAAGGGAAAAAAGCCUCUGUCCUUAACCAGUUCGUCCCCGACAAUCGAGCCGCCGUUGGCCGGUUGCUGGUGCUCAACCUGGAGGCCCUGGGCAAGGUCUGCCCUACGCUCGCUUCCAGCUUCAACGAGUGCAGAAAGACGACGGCUUGGCCUGCGUCCCACGCCUCCAUUGAAAGGACAGUCACUGAGGUUCGAUUCUUUGUUGACGCCCUAUGGGCUGGCCUGGUUCCCCAUUUUUCCGCCUACUUCACUGCAGUGCUCUCCCAUUAUCAGAUCCAUAUGAUGCAUCUUGAUCCUCAAUCCAUUACCCUUCUUGUCGUCUUCGCCUUUGUUUGCGAAGCCAUGGUGGGCAUUGCUCCUUCCGUCGCCCUCUUGCACCACUUCUUCUCGCUGCGCCUGACCGACCCUUCGCAGUGCUCGGGGUGCGUGAGCUUCCAGGCCGUGGCACAAACGGUCGCCUAGGGGAUUGAUUUUGACCUCUCACCAUCCACUGUGGGUUCCAGACCCGGUGGCUGUAUGUGGAUGUCGGAGUACUCAGCCCUCUGCUCUCACCUCCAUUGUUACCUGCUGUCCCCAAUCCCGGUUGGGUCCACGAGAGAUUCGUGAGCCCCCGGCUCUCCUUCAUCUGGUAUCGACUGAGGAGGUUGAGAGAUCUCAGCGUGACAGCGCCCCGGGUGGUGAAGGAGUUCCUCCAGUGUUGCAUUGCUCCUCUCCAGCGUCAUUCCCGACCGAUGUGGGCCCUGACGGGCGACCAGGACCGCAUGAGGCUUCAGGAAACAGAACUGGCGCCCGAAGCGCUGAAGAAUGUGCUUGAGGUCUUGACUGGCGACCCCUCGCCGGGCGAUAUACGGCACGGGGGUAGCCUCCUGUAUCUCUGCUCGAACAGGGCUGAGUUCGCAGGACAGAUGCCUCUCUUCGAUGAAUGGGAGUUGCGUCUGGUCGGCCUUGCGGGGCCUCGCGAGAAUCCCGUCGCCGUGGCUCCCUUCCACGCCACCAGCACUGAUCUUGCCCCAAGAGUGGGCGCAGGGAGGCAAGCAUUGCUUGAGGCUGGAGGCUCGGGUGUUGUGGCUCCGACGCCGCACGGGGUUCCCGAAGUGUCGUCCUCCGGAGCUCAUGAAACCCGCCUUGAGUCGGUCGUUGAUGGGGGGGACGCAACCCACGGCUCCUGAGGCCGGAGCUCCCGAGGCGUCGGCAAGCCAUCAGGAGGUGGUGCCUGAUCGCUCCUCCCAGCUAGGCGCCCCUGAGGUUGGCCGCCUGAGUGCUUCUUCACCCGUGCCACAUGCCGGUCCUCACGUCGAGCUCCUGGAUCAGUUUCGCAUGGACUUCGCCGCACUCCGCAAAAGGAAGGAGUCUUCGAGUUGUAGUGGUCGCACCUUCCGACCACUAAAGCAUAGGAAGUACUUCGCCAUAGAUGAGUAAGUACCUCAUUCUUGCAAUUCUUCAAUCGCUGCUCCUUUUCCAGACUGUGACAUUUCAGGAUCCCUCCUGCCAAGCCUGCGGAGUCUCCCAAGAAGCAACUUCCUCCGACUUCGCCUUCAUCGCUAGCCUUGAGCGUCCCGAGCCUGCAUGCUGCCCCUGACGCGGGGUCAGCCGGAGAAGCAAGCCUGCCCGCAGGGUGUCUUGAGCAUGUGCCCUUGCCACCUUUCCUUCGCGACCUCGCCUGGAGCAUGGGCAGCCUGCCCAGGGCUCCUCCUCUGAUCGUGGACGGUGAAUGGUUGGCGUUGAUCCUUGGCUCUUCUUCGGGGGAUGGGCCUGCGCCGGUCCGAAUCCCUUGCAGGGCCCGGCCAGCGAUCUAGGUGGCGCCAGCCCCCAGCCCCCUGCCAAUAGGGGGCGAACCACUUCACGGCCCGCCGACAGCGCCGGCGGCGAAGGACGACAUCGUUAACAUGCUCAAGCUUGUGCGAGAGGGAAGCAUCAUCCGCCACGAGUUCCUCCGGAAGGCGAUGGACGUGAUGGGCCAGCUUGGUGGAGAGCUUGCGGAUGUGGACGCGUGCCUUGAAGCUGAGGGCCUGCGGCUGAUUGAGGAGCGACGCAAGCUGAAGGUGGCCAUCAACCUUGAGGGCCACUAGCGCGAGCUUGACAAUGCAAAGGCCGAGUCGUCCCUUGCGACCUCGCGAGUGGCCUACUCCCAGGCUCUGGAGGAGGCUCGAGAGGCAGAUUAUCAUCACGAGAUCGCAGAGAAGCGCGCGUGGGAGCUCCAAGCCUGGAGCGCCUCCUUGGAGCAGCAAAUGGAGCUGCGUCAAGCCUCCCUUGUGUCGCUGAAGGGGACGCCUAUUGAGGAGGAGGAGCUCCGAAGGCGCGAGGAAGCGCUGACGCUGGAGGCCGCUGAGCACAAUCUUGACCUUGAGCGGUUGGAGACGAGGGAGCGCCAGGUUACCCAGACAGAGGAAAAGGUUGGCGCGCGCGAGGCUCGAAUCUAGGAGGAGGUCGACCGCCGCGUGGCAGAGGCUCGCGCAGAUCUUGUGAGCAGGUAUGACUUGAAGCUAAAGAUGGUUGAGGCCGAAGCUACGGGCACACUACAAGAAAUAUGUCAACUUGUGACCACCACUAUUGGUCACUGAAAGGUCAUUGUUUUUCAUUUGCGACCUUUUUGUGACCAAAAACAGAAGGUCAAAAGCUGGCAGUCGUAAACUGACUAUAGCGACCUUCUCUGAGAGAAGGUCGUAGAUGUUUACGACCAAAACAAAAGGUCGUUGAACCCAUGACCUUUUGUUUUGGUCACUAGUUGUCUGCCCAGGCCACGUCGGAUCCGAUGUGGCAAUCUGACGUGGCAAAAUUACGACCAAUUCAAAAGGUCACUGACAAGAUUCAGCCCAGUCCGAUUAGGUGUUUUAGAUGGGCCGAGCCCAACAAAUCAACCUUUUAUAUAUUUUUUUCCUAUUAAUUUUGGUCAGCUACAUGGGCCAGGCCCAACAUUAUAGCCUUUUUAUUUUUGGGCUCUAGCCUUUUUUUUAUUUUUUUAUGCACCUUUGUUUUGGGGCUAUAGCCUUUGUUUUUCUUUGUUCUGUCAAGGUCAUGUUCUUCAUAUUUCAAUAUACCAAUACAGAAAACUGACGCAAUACUUCAAAUAACAGCAAGAAGCAAUCUACUAUAUCAGAUAACAUACAUACAAAUGUGAUCAGCAUCAAGUUUACAAUUAGAUAACAGCUCUACAAGUGUACAGUCUACCACAUACAAAUUAUAUAACAGCUCUAUCACAUGAGCCCUACAAGUUCUGCUACAUCACACAUACAAAUAGGAUCAGCCUAAAGGGUUUCAUUACUCCCAGAACUAGCUCCAACUAGCUUCUUCCAACUUCUUUGUCUUGAAGCUCGUGAAGAAACAUGAAAGGCCAGCAUCUGCACGUUAUAGAACAAAAUGAUUAGGAACAAAAUAUAAGUAUAUCUAACAGCAUAUUUAACAGUAAAUAACAGAAUAAUGCAAUAAAUUGGUACAGAGCAAGGUACAGAGCACAGGCCAGGUCAACAAUAAAUAGGUACUAAAUCCAUAAAUAACCAUCUGAAAUGAACUUAAUGAGACAUUUUAGAAUCAACUUGACAGUUAACAGUAAUGUUUGCAUUGGCCACAUCCAGAACUAGAACUGAAAUCAUUUACUCUAUCAAGCAUAUCUACAAUGAUGCAGCACACAAAAAAAGAGAGGUGCACAACAGAGCAGCAUCAUAUAUCACACAACAUGGACACUCUUUGAACAAACAUAGUGUUCCGGUCUAAAACCACAGCCAAUUUCGGAAGCAUGUCGAAUAACUAAACAUACAUACAUGUGAAUAAUUAAACAUACAUACAUGUGUAUAUAGAAGCAGCAGAAGCAAAUAAUAACUAGAACAUGAUAAGCUUAGACUCAAGUGAUCGUGAGACACCAAUAUGAGCUUAGAAUUCACAAGUACACAUUAAUUGUAAUCACUUAGUAGUCAUCCGCCUAAGCAAGCACAGAAGUACAAUGCUUCAGAUACAUGUAUGUAGCAAGAAAAACAGGCAAUGUGAUGACAGUAUGAGCGCACAAUAAUUUUGGGAGUAAAAAGAACAUAAAUAAAACAACACAAUGCUUGAGAUACAUGUAUGCAGCAAGAAAAACAAGCAAUGUGAUGACAGUAUGAGCGCGCAAUAAUUCUGGGAGUAAAAACAAGCAAUACAACAAUCUCUGGAACACCUAGGUAUGAUUGCUUGUUGUUCAUGAGUGUCAACCAUCUGCAUGUGUGUACAUCAAAAAGAAAACAACAGGAUUCAAUUCAUCUUGCCCAUAUACAGCAACCAAUAGACAUCAAACAUCAUUAGAUUACCACAAACUGAAAUACAAAAUCACGAUGAUAGGUCCACAUGCUUCUAUUGUCAGCAUGAUAAAUUGAUAUGCAUCGAACUUGCAUGAUGUUUGAUGAACUUUGUGCACUACUGUAUUGAUAUGCAUCAGUUCCAAAUUGGUGUGCACUACUGUUGUCAGCAUGAUAAAUUGAUAUGCACUGUUGUUGUUGCUGCUGUUAAACAAAUCACUACUGCUACUCCUGAGAGCAAUUCCUACUCCUGCACAGAAAGUUUACUCCUAGGAGUAUACUGGAAAAGUUUACUCCAGCAAACAAAGAGAAGAGAAGAGAGAAGAGAAAGAAAAACUUAACAGCAGUAACGAAGUCCUAUACUACUGUUGUCCUACACUAAACUACUGCAACCAGUACUGAUGCAAGCUUAACAGCAGCAGCAAGUGCUAUACUACUGAUGUCC
This 74220-nucleotide long non-coding RNA is filed under the name Triticum aestivum (bread wheat). RNAcentral describes it as "long non-coding RNA (TAES_LNC012116)". The record is from RNAcentral. Lineage: Eukaryota; Viridiplantae; Streptophyta; Magnoliopsida; Poales; Poaceae.